UUUUUUUUUUUUUUUUGUAAAUAUAAACAAGUUUAGAUUAUGUUACAUAAUAUGAUGAAUUCAAAUCUCGUAUCCGUGACAUACAUUCAAAACUGUUAGUGUAAAAAAAAAAUCACCACACCGUCAGCGUAUAAAAAGUUAAUCCUUGUGAAUAGUUAAUAGUCAUCCAUAUUUCAACUAAUAAUUCAAACUAUUAGUACAAUUCAAGGGUGAAAAAAAAACUCUCAUCUCACUAUUUUAACUGUGAAUUUAACUUCAUGGGAUAAUAAUAAUAUUCAAGGAGGAUAGUAGAGAAUCUCUCAAAAAUGAAAUAUAUAUUUUAUUUGUCCGCCAGCGCCAGCCAGAAACUAGGGUAGAACAUUUAUUUAUUUUUUCUUGGGGAUAAAAAAUCCAUUUAUCCUAACUAAACUAGUAGUAGGACUUAAUAGGGAAGACGGUGUAGACGGUGGAGAAUGACAAAUUUAACCUUGGAGAACGGGUUCUUGAUUUCAAAGCGAAUCGGGUUCAUGAAAUAGUAGCAGUAGAAAGGGUGGUGGGUAAGUGUCUGAGACGCUUCCACAGCUUCUAGGCUUUCUCAUUUGGAUUUCCCUCUUCUUUUCUUCUCGUGUUGUUUGUAUUGGAGCUACUACUACUGCUGCUGCUGCUAAGUAUCACCAGUCUCUUUCCCUUGCCUGAGGAGGAGGAAGACGAGGACGCUUCUUCUUUAGGGUGGUCUUUUGAUAUUGUUCGAUUGACCCCUCAAAAAAAAAGAAAGAAAGGAAGAAAGAAAGAUGGUGGGAAUGGGAUGCCGGCGUAUGGAAUUCAGUCAAUGCUGAAGGAAGGGCACAAGCAUCUAUCCGGGUUGGACGAAGCGGUGCUCAAGAACAUCGACGCCUGCAAACAGCUUUCCCAAAUCACCCGCACUUCCUCGGCCCCAACGGUACUCUCUCUCUCUAGCCCUUCUUCUUACUCUUCUCCCUCUCCCCGAUUUUGCAGCAUCAAAUCUAUGUGCUGCUGUCACUCACAUUUGUAACUGUAUGUCUCAGUUGUAAACUAUUGCUCCUGCUUUUAGUUCUAGGGUUUUUUCAAGUCACUUUUGCCCUUUCCUAGUAUUAUUUUUUUUUUCAAAAAAAAGGAGGAUCUUUGCGUUAGGAAUUAUUUACCAAGGAAAUUCUUGUAUAAUGCAUUUGGGAUCUGUGGACGCGUUUCCAAUCUCUCUCUCUCUCUCUUCAGGUAUGAAUAAGAUGGUUUCACCAUCUCGACAAGCUUUUCGUCACCAAGAUGCUGCCACCAUCGUCAACGAGCUCGAGGUUCAGCAUCCUGCGCUAAGAUCUUGGUUCUGGCUGGCAAGGCACAACAAGAGGAAAUUGGUGACGGUGCUAACUUGUGCUCUUUUGCUGGGGAGCUUCUCCAAAAUGCUGAGGAGCUCAUCCGAAUGGGUCUGCACCCCAGUGAGAUCAUCAUUGGUUACGCUAAGGCCAUUAAUAAGGUUUCCAUCAUCCCCUGCAGCCUUUUCGUUUUUAUCUCUUUACUGUUUCCACCACUUCCUCUUUUCUUUUUCUUUUUUCCAAUUGGCUGAGCAAUUUUUUUUUAUUGGUUACCGUUCUGUUUCAGACAAUCCAAGUUUUAGAGGAAUUGGUUGAAGCAGGUUCUGACACCAUGGAUGUCAGAGAUACCAAUCAAGUUAUUUCUCGCAUGAAAGCUGCUGUUGCUAGCAAACAGUUUGGUCUAGAGGAUAUAUUAUGCUGCCUUAUUGCUCAGGUAAAUAUUGCUAACUUUGCUGUUGUUGGUGUCUCAGUUGGGAUUCUUCCCUUGUCCUGAGUUAUGGUGUAUUUGCAACACAGGCAUGCAUCCAAGUUUGCCCAAAGAACCCAGCGAACUUUAAUGUGGACAAUGUCAGAGUCACAAAGCUCUUGGGUGGAGGUCUGCAUGAUAGUAAAAUAGUCCGAGGUAUGGUAUUGAAAAGUGAUGCUGUUGGAAGUAUAAAGAGGAUCGAAAAGGCAAAGGUAGACACUCAUAAGCAUGCAUCUGGUUGUUUGUAUGCUAUUAACUAGUCAACGGCUGUGCUUUGAAACACUUCAGUAUGUUUUCUUGUGCCAAUUCAAAUCAAUGUAGCACAUUAUGAGGCUGAAAGAGUAACAUGCCAUCCUUUUCUCCUCUGUAUCUUGUAUGCUUAUGCAUAAAAGGACAUCAUUUUUUGGUCUGAAUCUUUUUCCAAUUUUUUAAAGAUCUCCCUCAAUAAAGUAGGGUUCUAAUGCCUACUAAUUUUUCAGUCCUGGAAAUAUGCGCUAUUUUUAUUUUUGAAUUCUAUCAUUUGUAUUAACACUUGUUGAUUUAAAAACGGAAGUAGUCUCACGUGCUUAAUGCCUCUUCUAAACGAGUUUAAUCAAAUUCUUCAAAAGAUGUGUCGGCUGUGUUCAUUAUUCGGUCUGGUCUGGGUGGCACCUGUUCUCUAAUCAUCUGUUAAAACUUUUAGAAUUUCUGGUCGUGUUUGUUUUAAAGAGGUUUCAAGUCAUGGCAAAAUUGUUUUAUUCUUUUCCUGAUAAAGUUAGGAAGGAGCGGUACUCUGCUGAUUUACCUUAUGAUUGAUAUUCAUUCUUUAUCAGGAAAUUAAGACUUUGUAAUCAUUCUUGCAGGUUGCUGUUUUUGCUGGAGGUGUUGAUACAUCAGCCACAGAAACAAAAGGAACUGUCUUAAUCCAUAGUGCUGAACAGGUAUUAAGGGGAGCGUCUAGUCCUUUAGAUCCUCAUUCAUAAAGACGUGAACUAGUUUUUCGAAGUCCAAACCUCUUUGCACAUGGUAUUUAUAGUCUCAAGUAAAGCAGUGAAUAAACUUCUUCUAGUGUUCAUCUAUUUUGUUUGCUUUCGUGAAUUCUGGAGCAUCUAGUAACCUGUUCUGUGUUAAUAUCCUCUCAUCUCAGAGUUGGUAAUUUUUAAUCUGUUAAUCUCUUCUGCUUUUGCAGCUCGAAAUUAUGCAAGGACUGAAGAAGCUAAGGUUGAGCAACUCAUCAAAGCAGUUGCAGAAUCUGGUGCGAAGGUUAUUGUUAGUGGAGCAGCUGUUGGAGAGAUGCACUACAUUUUUGUGAGCGUUACAAGUACAACCAUUUUCUCUACCUGUUACUUUAACUUUAAUUUUUGUGCCUUUAUUUCUACAGAGAAAUGAGAAGUCAAGUGCUUUUUCAUUUCUGCUAACCUAGCCUAUUGAAAGAAUGGUUUGUUUCUCCUAAUACAAUGAGAGUCCUAGUUUGCCUUUGUAUCUCUAUGAGGUUGCUGUACAGUAACAGAUAGGUAUGAAUAUCAUAUCCUGAUGGGAAUGAAAGGUAGGGCAACAAAAUAUUGGCACAUUCUGCACUAUAGACUACUGAAAGGUCGUGUGUAUUGGUCACUCGUUUUGACAACUUUCAUCUGCUUGAAUAUCUUGGGAAACUUGUAAGGCGAUUCAUCAGCUUGAAAUGUAGAUUACUCUCCUUUAGCUUUGUGUCAUUUUGCUCCAUUUUGCAUCCCCUUUCUCACCUUGGAUAUAGUGGGAAAAUUUCCUUUAUUUAAGUGUAUUUAUACAUGAGAAGAUAUGUAAAAUCUGCUUGUCCUGAACUUUUUUCCUUAUCUCUUUUGUAUUCAAUUUUUUCUUUUUUGUUGUUUUUUCGGGGGAGGGGGUGUUGGUGGGCGGUAAUUAUAUUGGAGUCUUGGACGAUUUUGCAUUUGCCUUGACUGGAUCUUGAAUUGCUAUCGUUAUGGUUCAUCUUUUCCUAUGCCAUGCAUAUUACUUGUUGUCUGUUUGCCUAACAACCUAUAUAUGUUGAACAACUGAUUACCCAGUACAUAUCCUUUGCAGGCUCAUGGUCCUAAAGAUUAGCUCCAAAUUUGAGCUUCGACGGUUUUGCCGUACCACUGGUGCUGUUGCUCUUGUAAGCAUCUUGCAGUCAGAGAGUAUUAAGUUGUGAAACUUCGUUGUAUUCCUUCUGAUUUUUGUUUUUUUUGGCGAUACAGUUGAAACUUAGUCCGCCAAAUCCAGAUGAUCUUGGAUAUGUUGAUUCCAUUUCAGUGGAGGAAAUUGGUGGUGUUAGAGUAUGAUAAGACUGCCCAUAGUGCUGUUACUCUUCAAUUUGUAGUUGUUUCAACUGCUUGGAUAUGAUUUUUAUGAAUGAUGAUUAGGUUACAAUUGCAAGAAAUGAAGAAGGUGGAAAUUCUGUAUCCACAGUUGUUCUGCGAGGUAGCACUGAUAGUAUAUUAGAUGAUCUUGAGAGAGCGGUCGAUGAUGGAGUUAAUACUUACAAGGUACCCUUUCUGAAUAUAGCAGAUAUAUUUGGAAUGAUGGGUUUUCUUCUGAAUGCCUUUGCAAGUUGUUAACUAUUUGCUUCUUGGUGAUUUGCAAGUUUUUACUUGCAGUUAGGAUCUAAUAGACUUUGCUGUUUCCAUCCAUACCAGGCAAUGUGCAGGGAUAGUCGGAUAGUACCUGGUGCUGCAGCUACUGAGAUUGAAUUAGCCAUAAGACUAAAGGAGUUUUCUCUCAAAGAAACUGGGUAAUGCACUUCCUUACCUUGCACUGAAGAAUGUUUUAUUUUAGGUUAAGGCAGCUGUGCUGAAGUGCAAGCUAUAUACAUGUUCUUCACAAGCUUUAGCAAAUAUUCUAUCCAUUUUGCACAUGUAUUUAUUUAGUUCUUGUUUUGAAAAGUUGAUGUGCAUCUGCUUUGUGGCUUCUUUUUGUCCUACCAGAAGGUAACAUACAUCUUCAACCUUGUCCUACCAAAAGUAACAUACAUCUUCAACCUUGUUUUGCAUAUUCUUUCUGCUAUAUAUGUUUGUUUGAUUAUUUGCAUGGGAUAAGGUAAACUUGAGUAAAUUAUUGGACCUGCCAUUUUUUGCCUUGAUUGCUGACUGAUCUGCUUGAAAGUUAGUGUUCUCCCUGUAUAUGAUUGAACAGUGUGGUUGAAUCUGAGUUAGAGGACCAUUUUAUUCACAUUAACUUAAUGACAAGUGUUGCAAUCUAUUUCUAAAGUGUUUUUGUUGAAUGUUUGUGCGAAUAUGUACUGGUUUCUCAUAUCCAAUGGCAUACUGUUAGUUGUCUAUUGUUGUCUUGAUUUUCUUACCAAUUAGUAAACUGAAGCAUGGGUGCUUUGUUUAGUUGAGGCUUAGAUUUUUCUAUUGCCAUGCAGCUUAGAUCAGUAUGCAAUUUCCAAAUUUGCUGAAAGUUUUGAAAUGGUACCUAAAACCCUGGCUGAGAAUGCUGGGCUUAAUGCUAUGGAGAUUAUAUCAUCGUUGUAUGCCGAACAUGCAUCUGGGAACGCAAGAGUUGGCAUCGAUUUGGAAGAAGGCACGUGCAAAGAUGUCUCCACGAACAGCAUAUGGGACCUAUAUAUCACAAAGUAAGCUUUUUCCUUAUAUUGCUGAAAUCCACAUUCAAAUUUUUUCUAGUGUAGAAGUUUCAACUUUGAAGAUUGAGAGCAAAAUUUUGAAGAAUGAGAGCAAACUGUUGUUUUUAUGUCAGUCCUGGAGUAAGCAUUAAACCCUGCUCGUGAAGGUUGUGCAGAAGAUUGUUUAGCACUUUCUAGUGAUCUCAUUUGUAUAUAUCAUGCAUGUUAAAGGCUACCAACUAACUAAAUCUUGCUUCUGUGGAACAAUGUAAACAAAAGCUCAAUAGGGAUCCUUAGUUCUGUCGACCUUGGUUUUUGGAUCCUCAAAACCUAAUCAAAAGAUCCAAGCAACUCAGCUGUGCAUGAGCUUGUGAACACUCACAUGCUUGCCUGCUUGGGCUUUUUUAACCACCCAUGAAGGAGAUCUUUUUUUGUUUAGUUUCCCUGAGAUUGAUGCAUUCUGGAAUAUUCUUUUGUAACUCAAGCUAUUCUGGAAUAUGGAAUUUAAUGAAGUGUCAGAAGGCUCUUAACUAGGAAUUUGGUUCAAUUGACAGGUUUUUUGCUCUCAAAUUUGCUGCUGAUGCUGUCUGUACUGUCCUGCGUGUAGACCAGGUAAGGCAUUCUUGGCAUCUUUACUUUUCUUCUUCAUAAUGUGGUUAUCAUGAUACUGGUGGUAAAUUACCUAUUUCUGUGGUUUAUGCUGCAUUUAGUCGACCUUUUUGGACGUGAAAGAAUUUCACUUGAUGGUGUGAUAGUUAUACAAGAAUUAAGUAGUUUAUGGAGCGGAUAUGCAGAAGUAGUCUACCAGAUGGCCUGGUGGUUGGUGUGUAGGUGAUGACCGUGGGUUUAGGUAUAGGUUUUUCAGUUCAUCAAGUUAUUCUGUGGGUUGUGUGAUAGUCUUUUGAAUGUGCUGCCUAGAAGUUUCCCUUGUUGAGGCUAAAUAACCAGGUGGAAUAGCCCAAUGCUGUCAAGCAUGAUGGCACUUGUUGGUUUAUAAUGUUGAAACUUUGGUCCUUGGGUGUUGUAUUUACGCGUAUAGGUUCUGGUGGUUGAGAUAUAGAUGACGUUUGCAGACUUCCCAAUGCAGAGAUGUCAAUCUCCCAAGUCAUGGAUCAUGACAGGAUUUCUUGGGCAUGCAAAAAAGCUCAUACUAUAUCCUCUCACUAGUUUCAAAAGAAGGCUUGGGUUAACCACAAUAUUGAAGCAUAGUUGGAGAUUCUUGUAGUAAUUUUGCUCAGUUUGGGACACUAAGGUCCCAUAAAGAGGGUCUAAAAGGUGCUGCUGUUGUAAAUAAUUGUGGAUACCUCUGCUAUAAAUUUGAUCAUAGAUCUUGUCUGACUUUAGUAGGUGCAGUGCAAAUAUUUUCAGUUGCUUUUACUCACAGAGUGAUGGAAAUGGUUCUUCAUGUUUUCGCGUUAAGAAGUUUUCCUCAUCUUUUACAAGAUUUGUGAUUGUGUGUCAUCACCUAUUGGUUUUCCGAUGCAGAUUAUAAUGGCAAAACCAGCUGGUGGUCCAAAAAGAUGCUCCUGCAGGGAUGGAUGAAGAUUGAGUGUUCAAUAUGAAUGUAGCGUCUGAUUUAGAUUUUGCUUGGUAGUGUUCUGGGCCUCUUGUGGGUCAAAGGGUUUUCAUCAGAGAAGGCGGAGAAUAGUUGAAUGUUAGCGUGUUGUUUCCUACUUUCAUACCAAUUACUAGGACGGACGUGGUCGAAGAAAAAUUUUGGGUGUUUUUGACUCUGAUUGUAUAUGCCACUAGAAGUGCAUUUGUGGCUUGGUUCGUGUUUAGCGUUUUCCAUUUUUAGUUAUCAUAUUACAGUGGAAGUACACAAUCCAUGGUGAAUUGGGCGUUUUAUACCUAUUGUGAUGUGAAGAGCCCGGCAUCAAAUUCUACAUUGGAAGCUUUAAUUCUUGUUUAUCGGAGUCAGAUUAUAUCUUCGCUGGAAAUAUUUGGAAAUGUUAAUAAAAAAAGCUUUUCUUCAUGGCCCAACAAGGCAACAACGUCGAGUGCUUGCGAUGGAAAGCAAAAUUAUAUGCUCCUCAUUUUUUCUGUCAAAUGACGUAUGAAGGUUUUGUGAAAUGGGCGUUUGGUUUUGAUUUCUCAGUUUUUUUUUAUUUUAAAAAAAAAAAGAAAAAACAAAUACUAUACGUAUUGGCAAGCAAUAAUCUGCUCUGAGCUCUUUAGCUAGUAGCAAUACGUAUGUGAGUAAAAGAGGUAAAAGCUGGGAGUGUGGGAACCAGAUUACCGUCAAAAGUUUUCUGGGGUGAGAGCCAGGUUAUAGAAGAUUGGCUUGCCAGUGGACGGUGGUGGUUCAAGAAACAAACUGCUUAGUGCUUAGCUUUCAUUCAAUCAUGGCUUCUAUUCUAUCCUUUCCUCUCCCAAAACCAAGCUCAGCUACUGUUAUACCUAAAGCUUCUUCUGUUCCAAUCACGUCGUCUCCUCCUCCUGCAGAGACUCUUGACGCAGAGGUUUGGUCGCAAAGGCAUUAAAUCUUGGAGUCCGCAGGAGAUGUUCCGACGGUUGAGCUGACUGUGAGAAAUGGCAGCUCAGUAAAAGUUCAAAUACCCAGUGGUCAUGUCACUUCUUAUAAGCCUAAAGUUUACUGGAAAGAUGAUGGCUUUGAGGAAGUCCUCUACACUCUUCCAGCAAAUGGGCAAUUCUUUCAGUUCCCCUGCUCCUCCUCCUUCCAGAGGUGGUAUUGGUUUGGCAUUCAAUGACCUUUCGACCCAAAUUCAAAAGGGUCUCUUCUCAAAACUUCUGAAUGGACCGUAAAAGAUGUUGACUCUGAUUCUAUUGAUGCUGUGCAGGUACUUUCUCAUCCUCCUCCAUUAUGACUUGCGAGUAGGAACCAGUCAUUCAUUUUGCUCAUUUCUUUUUGCCAAUAUAGUUUUGCUUGCUCUGCUAAGUGCUAACUGCUUUUCUCUUCUCUUCUUGAGAAGAAAUAUAACUACUGGGUUGCACAGUUGCACCCAUGUAAUGGCAGCUUUUGUUGCUCCAAAAUAAUUUAUAGGGGCCUUUUGACAUGGAUUCACUACAGUACUGAAUUCGUUUUUUCCACCUUGGACAAACUCUGUGUGUGUUUGGCUGCAGGUUGAACUGUGUAGCACCAGUGGAAGUCUGGAAUUAACUUACGUAGUUUCACUCUAUCCCUUGUGCGUGGCAACCGCAGUUAUUGUGAAGAACAAUGGCCGUAAAGCUGUCAACCUGGCUGGCGCCAUUCUUACGCAUUUCAGGAUGAAGGGACGAAGUGGAGCAGGUGUGCGAGGCCUCAAGACCUGCUCUUACUGCACCCUCCCUCCUUUAUCUUCGCACUAUGAGAUUCUAUCUCCAUCUGAAGCUGUUAAAACCGAGGAUCCUGGCUUCUUCUCUUUUGGCUGGGAGGCCGAAAAGAAACCAGGAGAAUGGAGUGUGCAAGGCGUUCCCUUCACAGUACUGAAGCAUAAGCUCAGUAGAGUUUAUGCUGCUCCACCAGCUGAUAGAUUGAAAGAGUUCUACAAUACCACACCUUCAAAAUAUGAGGUACUUGAUCAGGUAAUGCCUCAGCAUUCGACUAGCAUUAUCCGUGUACUUUGGACUAUACAAAGUCAAUGGUGUUGAUGAUAAUUCCUCUUAACUAUCUCCCAUAUUAUCAUUUCUAUAGAUGCAGUUGAAUAUUUAUAACCUGCUUCAUUUUUCUAAUGAAUUCUGUCCCUUGUUGGUUCUUUUCUUUCCAGGGCGAGAGCUCUUCUUUAGGUUUAUACGAAUGGGUUUUGAAGAUAUAUAUUUGUCCAGCCCUGGUUCUGUCUCUCGGAAGUAUGGAAGGAUUACUUUAUAUGUACGGGCCCUGCUUCAAUGCUGGUUCCGAUCGUCAUCAACCCUGGUGAGGAGUGGAGGGGGGCACAAGUCAUCGAGCACGAUAAUUUGUAAAAACCAUCAAUUUAACAGACAGCACCAAUUGAUUUUCGCCCUUGAGUUUGUUCUGAGAUGUGCAGAUAUUGAAAUAUGUACAUUGUAGCAUCAAUCUAUUUCAUGAAUCGUGAUAAUUGAGCAGUUCUUGGAUAACAACUUAGCGGACAAUUCAUAUAUUCUGUAGGAAAUCCAUCAAUCAAGAAUGACAGCAGGAGCAGCUGCAUAUGCAGAUGUGAGACAGAACUUUUCAUCAUUUUUCACCAUUUUUGACGUGGUAGUAAAUGGAUUAAUCAGAACCAACAAUAUGGCAAACAUGCAUCCUCGCAUGUAUUGCAGUUCAGAUUCAACUGGCGUUUGACAAAGCAACCACUCAAGCAAGAGGACGAACAAGAGAAUAAUCUACUGCCUCUGUCAAGAGUGGAACAAUUACGCUCAACCAAAAUAAUCUGAGAUUAAUUGCAAAUUCAGCUUUUUGUAAAAAAUCAUUCUUCCAUCACCACCACCACAAAUUCUUACAUAGGAUGAUAAGUAUACGAAGUAAUCAAGGAGAACUUGUCCUUGGGUGAUCAUUGGUGUUGAGAAGAUCAUGAAUCUGUCACUGAACUGCCCCAGAAACUUAUUGCUGCUGCACAGUAAGCAAGAAAAUCAAAGAGAUAAUAUAACAACUACAACAGCUCAGAUAACAAAAGAUAGAUAGAUCGUCGAGCUUUCUUCAACCAAGCAUCUUAUUCCUCUUUGAUGUAAAUCGAGAAACAUUUGAGACAUCUAAAUUCACAAGAAGUCAUGCCAAUCCGAGUCCUACACCAAACUACAAACCAUUUGAUUUUCUUGUUCUGCCACCAUACCAACUGUUGGUGUCUGUUCCAGAGUUUGAUGGCCUUUAGUUACCUAUGGUAUAAUUUGUGUCAAGAGUCUUUGCAUGUGUAGAUAUAUUAUGAGAAUAUGGAUAUCAGAUUCAAAAAAGUAAAAGAAAAAACCUUAUUUUUGGCCGCCUUCUCAUCUGUCAGUGGAGUUCCCACCUGUUUCCAACUCCUACCUGUGGCAAGAAGUUUUUAUUGUGAGGCAGACCUGACGAACUCUGAUUUCUUUCACUACUCAGAGUAGUAGCAUCUGUGGCAAGAAGUUUUUCCCUUGCAUUGGUUAAAAAGUUCACCAAAAGGUCACAUCUUUACUCAUUUUCAGCAACAAGACGUUGCACUUCCAACAAUAAUGGACUGAGACAGUCAUAACAACGUCUUUCUUCAUUGUCACUGAAAUCAUCAUAAACAGCUUUUACACGCUGGUAACCACGAUUCAUGUCUUUGCGCCAUCAGUCCAAAACAUAACAUGUUGAAACCUUGGUAAAAUUGUUCAUGGUUAGCACAGAGAUUACAUGCCUACAAAGGAUACCCCGAGACUCAAAAAGAUGACAAAAAACAAUUAAUCUGACAUGCAUUUUCAGUAUCAUAAUGUACAUCAAACAUAACUUCUUUCCAAUGUACUCCUUCAUUAUCUAACAUGUUUUCUACAACACCAUAAAUUCAAACUGACCCCUCUUUUUCACAAAGCAGGCAGUGCAAAACAUCAACCCUCUUAAUUCCUCCUGAACCAACUUGAAGAUGGAGUAGUGUAAAUAUUUUGAAAUUGCUUUUCAAUGGGAUGUCCAGAUAUUGUUGGCGUGGUGGAGUUGGAUGAAGCAACAUCCGAAUUUUUCUCUCUGUCUAUCUUAUUCUUCAAAGCAUUAUCUUAGUGUUCAACAAACUGCUUCAAUGUUGUUUUUGACUUGCCAGCCAAAAAGUGUGCCAAUCUUGAUACAAUGAUUUUAACCAAUCAUUCUUCUCCAAUUCAAAAUCUUUAAGCAGCUUCUCCCAAUUCUCUUCAAACUCAUCCCCUUUAAUAGAAUCAUAAACAAUAUUUUCCAAACUCCCCUUUAUUGCUUUAUAAUAAGUAAGACGUCCUAAUAUUUGUGGGAGUUUUCUCGUUAUUUGCCUCAGGCACAAACAAUAAUGGGAAUCUGGAAAUUCCUCAGCAACAGCAGCUUGAAUGGAGCUGUCUUCAUCAAUGAUUAUAGCCUUCGGAGCACGUCUUAGCAUGCUUGUUAACCAAGAUCUGAAUAACCACACAAAAGUUCCGUAUCCUCCCCAGAUACCAAUCCGCAACCUAGCAAUACAGUUUGGCCAUGGUGGUACAUUCCAAUGAAUGAAACCAAAGGCAAAUCACAGCUCUGAGUCAAACAAGUAGUAUCAAAAGAAAUGACAUAACAAAAGGACUCAUACGUUGCUCUACACCUUGCAUCUGCCCAAAAUAUAUUUUUUAUGCGACAUUCUUCAUCCAAAUUAACCGCAUAAAAGAAAUUAGGAUCUCUGACUUGCAUAUGAUGGAAAAAAAUUACUCAAGGCCCAAGCAUCUCCAGGUCUGAGUCUCAAACUUUGAGCUUCUGAAAUGUUUUGGUCAUGUAAAGUGUGAAACUUUAUUCUGUUCUGACAUUAGAAUAGUCCGAGAACUUGUCACGUCUAAUAUGGUGUGAUUUUUCUGGAGUGAAGUCAUGACUGUGGUCAAGGGAGUGACGACGCAAGUACCAUCAUCCAUAAUGGCAACAUUGAUUUUAGCUUUACAGAACAGUCGGUCUUUGUGGAGACUGAGAGCCUUCCAUGGUAAGAAGUUUAGUAGUUGAUUUGGUCUUACCAUUCUUGGAACAUCAGAGUGAAAAAUACUCUGCUUGCCAUCAUCAUCUCCAUUCUUGCAAGAAACUUUGGAAAUCCCAAAUCCAAGACGUUGAGCAUAAGAUCUAUAGAAUUGGCGAACUUGUUGUUCAGAAGAGAAUUCCAUCCCAGCUUCAGGGGUUGGAACUUCAUCCUUAUUUGAUGAGGAGUUAUCCAAAUGUGGUGGGUCAUCUUCAGGAGAAACUUUCUCUACCUCGUAGGUCCGUUGCUUAUCUUCUUGCAUCAUGGUAAUUUUGUCAGUGUCACUGGAAUAGAAACUAUCUACCUUUUCCCAAAUUUUAUUUUUAAGGAGACUCUAAACAAAAAGGAGAGCUUUGAAUCCUGCCAAGCAUUUUAUUUAUUCAAUUUCCAAUUGAAUUGAGUUUUCCUGGAAGGUAAUUCCACAUCUAAAUUACGCAAAUGGGCAGUUCAGGCCAACCUGAAUUAGGCUCCAAAGAAAAAAAAGUAGAUAAACCAUCAUCAGAGAUGAGGCCGUAGCAGGUUUUUUUGGGUAGUUUUCAGUAUAUUACCACUGUAAACGAGGAUGAACUUAAGUCUUGAGUUUGACAAUUUGCAACCGCAACCAACCAAAAGCAGGCAGAAAGAGCACAACAGACAGUUGUAAAAAAAUCUCGUCACUUUAUCCAAACAUGUGUCUGGGGAGUCUAUCCUAAAACUCUUCUUCCCUUUAAUUGGAAUCUCCCUGCAAGCAAUUUAAUCCAGACUAGCAAUAAGAGAUUAUGACACCAUUUCAGCUUGAGGGAAUCAUGACAAGUAGUACCAUCCACUCUGGUUUCCUCUCUCCACACUUCAUCCCUCUUUCCAACACCAGAAAACCAGUACUGUUACCUACCAAGACCGUUCAUCGUCUGCAGUGUCCUCCUCCUCCUUUCGUGUGCAACAUUUCUAGCAGCAAGAAAAGAGAGCCCAGAUUGCCAUCGGUAGCAGCAUCAGUCUGGUGCCCACCUCUAGACGUGGACUGUCUAGAAAAUGAGUAUGGAAGCCAUGGAGUCUCGUUUUCUGGUAUCAGCAGUGGUGAUGAGAGUUGUAUGGUCAAGAUGACCAUGGAAAAUGGAAGUGUAGCUAAGCUGAUGCUUCCCAGCGGGCUCAUCACUUCAUAUAAGCCUUUAAUGUGGCAUGGAGCCACCAUGGAGUUACUGCACACCUCAGUCUCAGAAGGGAAAAAUGGUGAAGCACUUAUUCACGGUGGAGUUUCAUUAGACCUCAAGUUUGAUCUGAACGGGAUUUUAUGGUCUCCAAAGACUUGGACUCUGCGUGGAGUUCAAGGAAGCUCUCUGGAAUUUAUUCAGGUCAGUUUUGUUGUAGUACUUGUUUAUCAACCCUGGAGAAGCUUGUGACACCAUGAUUGACAAUCUCCACACAUUUAUUAAGAUAAACAUGCGCGCUCAAUUAUUAAUUGGAUAUCAGAUUGAAAAGAAGAGGCUGCUGGAAUCCAAUAGUUCCUUUUCAUUCCAUCCUUAACUUUUGAAUUCCCUGUCGUUUCAAACUCAGUACCUUAUUGAUGUCCAGAUGUACUUAUGCAGGUAGAACUGAUAAGCCAAAAUGUAGAAAGCAAUAUUGAAGUUAAACAGAUCAUAACACUCGGAGAAGAUGCUUUAUCGCUCUAAAUUCUAGUCUGCAACUCAAGUGAUACAUCCGUCCAUUUCACGGGUGCAGUUAUAAGUCAUCUGACGGCGAGAGCACUCCAGAAGCAACUUAUGCAAUCGGACUAGAAGGAUCAGAUUUUUUAGCAAGACUCCACUUUUGACAGAUUUUAGUCUUAUUCACCCCAGCUUUGGCAAGAUAGGAUCAAGGAAAGCAAGAGGUCUUAUGGACUUCACGGGAUUCUUUUCCGGCUGGGGUGUGGAUCAAGACAGUGAGAGAAUGAGAAAAGAGACAGAAGAAGGUCUGGAGGAGAAGAAGAGGAUGGUUACAAAAAUUUGGCAGAGGAAAUGAGCAGAAUAUAAACCAGCGCACCUCGCGAUUUCACGUCCUUGACAGGGUAUGGAAUUUAUUAUGGAGAUUUUACGUACGUUCCUGAUUCCUUUAACAUUUUCAGAGCAUUCGCUGCCCAUGUCGUAUAAGAGUCUUUUUCCACUGUUGAUUUAUGUAUGUGCUUCCUAUUGCUCUGUCCAUCAGUCGUCUUUAUGCUCUAAAAUUAUCACUAUUUCUCAUGUGGAUCAAGGGGAGGAGAAACUCAGUCCUGGUAGGGAGAAAUGGGUUCAAUGAACUUUACAUGUUCAGUCCAGGUUCAAGUCAUGAAUGGUAUGGCAAAUACUCUUAUAUAUGUGUAGGACAAGCGGCCCUGCUUCAACCUAUAACCUUGAGCUCCCAAAGUGAAUGGAGAGGCAAGCAGCGUUUAUGUAAUCCAAACCGCUGAGCGAGGCUCUAAAAAGUCUACUAGUCCAGUGUACACAUAAAGGGAUGUCAUCAAACUCUGAACAGAAUUUGUGGAUCAGAAUAGAGAACAUUUAUCUUUACUACUGCAAGGAACUUAGGCCAUCAUGUCAUCGAUAAAAUAAAUCUGAAUCAGUAAUUGCAACAUUAAGCCCAGCAACAGCCCAUACUACACGAAAAGGAAAAAAGAGCAAGGAGCAGAAAAGUCCCUUUUGCAUCCUUUGCAUAUCAUUCAAUGGCAAUAUGUUUCAGUAGCACUAUUACAUAAAACAGGACAUAGUCUUUGGAGAUUGCCAAUCAAAGUACCAAAAUUCUUCAUCUUGUUUACUGCUCUGCUACACAACUAAAGAAGAAACGGCUCAGUAAGUAUUUGUUGUUUAUAAGGCAUAUCAGCCUGAUUACUUUCCAGGGUAUUAACUCAACUAGAACUAUAUUAGCUCUUAUGGCCUGCCACCAAAACAAGUUAGGUGGGGACAAGAUUGUAACCUUCUCCUUGAUCAUCAAUUAACAUGAAGCAUAAAUAGUUGCAAAUAUAACAAAGAGAAUGCCGAGUGUGUUGCGAGUAGGCUUCCAGUAGCCUUUCAGACCAUCAACUCUAGGAAGUUCCAACUUUGGAGAAGGUUUUGUUGUAUCCUCAGCAGGGAUAUCUUGUGUUGAAGACACUGAUUCGGAGCUUCCUCGUAAUGCUUCGGACCCUGUAGGUGACUUCCCAUUCCCAUUAAUCUCAAGGCCCCUCAUUUGAUGAACGCCAUUCUGUUUAUAUUUUGAAGUAGGAGUCAUUUCAUAUUGGCUUGAAGGACUUCUGAAUCUCCUAUUUGGUUUGUCAGAGUCUGAACUUUCCUCAUUUUGAUCCUGAAGGGAGUGAAUUAGCUUUCUUGGUGUUGCAAAGAUCUUUACACUGUCAACAUUGAUGAGAGAGCGAGAACGCUGAUAGAUAUUGCACACGAGAAACAUAUGGGUCAGCAAAAGCAAAAGCAUUUUCAAACAGACUACAAAGCAUGAACAUGUUCACAAAUUAAAGCUUUGGAGUAUUCUAUGCAGCAAAUUCUCUUGUCUCUAAAGGUGAGGUUCAUUAUUCAAUUUAAACAAAUGCAAAUCUGCACUAGGAUCUUAGACUUCUUUAAAAUGCAUCAUCAAAUCAUAUUCCAUGGAGAUGUUUUCUUCUUAUGCCAUUUUCUUGCUAUUGAAUUCAAAAUCCAGCAUGAAAUUGUUGUUCCAGACGUGUGAAUAUUCAAAUGCCUAGUAGGCCUACCUGAGGACUGGGAGUGGCACUUCUUACAACUCUAUUUCUGGAACUAGUUUGGCAAAAUCCAACAAAUCCAUCCGUAUAAUCUCCAGAGAAAUCAGAAAAACCAUCAUGCUCAGAGCUCCCCAUGGCACUUCCGCGUGUUACCUCUGAAAAGAUACCAUCCUUGAGAGAGACGUCUAAAACACCAUUCUCACACCUUGACCACAGUUUCCGAUUCACACUCCUUCGAUCAUAAGCAAAGUCUGGAGAGGUCUGAUUCGUUGAAAUUGGGGAGUCAAAGAAGGAAUCGUGCCCACAAAAUGAAUUGACAGUCUGUGAUUCAGGUGAAGCUGUCAGAGGUGAUUGAUCCCCAGAAUCCGACAAAUUUCUUCUUCUUAAAUUUCCUCUCCUGUCAAAAUUUGAGCCAGUGACUGAAACCAUAUCUUUCUCAAAUUUUGAGCUUUUCUCAGUACAUAUCUUUCGAGCAGUUUGCAAUGCUUCAAAAGCAGCCCCACUUACGUAAGCCAUCUGAUCAGACUGACAGUUCUCCAUCACCUUAAUUAUUAAUUCCAACUCAGAAGAGAUGCUUUUGAUCCAAACACUUCAUCAAAGAGUUCACCAUAUGAAUGGCGGACAAUCUUUUUUGGGAAUUGGCAUCUUCAUUCAGAAUCUGCAAUCCAGUGCGGAUCAACAACCUUGCAUACGCCUCGACAGUCAAACUGUUGUGCUUAGCCAAAGACAUCACAAGUGCCAUGUGCGAAUUAGUUUGCAAGUGCUUGUCCAAAGCUCCAGCAACUCUCUGACACACCUCAUUCACCAUCCCGUUUGAAGCAAACCUCCAGUUAUCGCACUCUACUAGAGCCUUCAGACAAAGAGCAGCUCCAGAAGAUAGGCUCUCAUGACUGCCCAAAAGACAAUCGGAGAGAGGCUUACAGAGAGAAUGAAUGAUGUGUCUCUUCUUGUCCUCGGGAGUAGUUGGGUCCAUUCCAUAUCUGGCAAUUGCCGGAACCACCUUAGAGCAAGCUUGGUGAAGAGCAAAAGAUCCUGCACUUGACGUCAAAGUCUUGAUAAUAGUGGUCAUGAUGUUGUCAAUUUGAGGGACAAUUUUAUGUCCAUGAACACGAGCAAGAACCUCGUAUAGUGAGAUCGUAUACUCUCCAGAAGAACCAGUUUCUUUGGUCUCGGAAACCUGUGCGAGAAAGAGAGGGAUAGCUUUGGAAUCCAAAUCUUUGACAUAGGAUUUCAAGGCUUUCAUAGCAGAUUUUCGACUGUCAGCAUCCUUGUCAAGAUUUUCCAACUCCCUUCUGACCAUGGGACUAAGACUUCUUAUUCCCAUAGGGAGACCACCUAUAUGUCCCUGAGGAACGAACUCGGUCAGUAAAGAGGUUAAGUGGAAUUUAUCGCGUCAAUUUUUUCUUUAAACUCAAAAAAAAAAAAAAAGAAUUGGUCGUUGUACAAUGAUAUCAAACUUGUGAAAUGAGAAUGACAGAAGUUGGCACACGAUAUGUAACACAAGCAUAGAUCUUGAAAAGGUGAAAACAAGUUAGCUUUGUGGCAGUAAAAUCAAAGGAAAAAAAAUCUUUUUCAUGGGCAUGUCAGAUUUCAAACUUGUAGAAUCAAGAAGCUAGCAGCAUACACAAAUGUCAACCACACAAGAUGUUGAUAUAAAGGAUGCUUCUAGUUUCUUUACUAGGUCACAAAAAAAAACUCAUGCCUUUGGGCGUAAAAACUGCAGAGAAAAUGAAAAGCUACAGCCUUUUAAUUUUUAAAUUUUUUUUUUACAGGAUGGUGAAAAGGGUUGUUGAUAAUAUGGAUAAAUAUGACGUUGUGAAUUCCAAUCAAGAAAAGAGGAAGUGUGGCGACUAAAAUUGGGUGAUGGACUCGACAAGAACCCUCUCCCUGCCCUGCGGUGGAUAAACAUUUGAGGCGUACUUGUAAGAGAAUAAAAAGGAAAGAACUGAAUUGGCAUAAACAAAGACACCCUCCCAAGGGCCAAGAUAGAUAGAUAGACAGAGAGAUGAAGAUCAUGGAAUAGUAGUAGUUAAAUGAAGAAGGCGGUACCUUAUCUGUUAAUAUAGACGAGAGUCCCUCCCUAGUCCCGCCCUAGUGUCGAGUAUUAUGCUGCUUCUUGCUGGGAUUCUUGUGCCAAGAUCUGGGCUUUACGGAAUCUUUUUCUUGCCGUGAUGUUGCAGCAGUAGGUUGUUUAGACUUUUACAUUGCUAAAUGGCAAUGCAUCCCGCCGCCGCCGCCGCAACCCUCAAAGCAAAAGUAAAAUGUGGUUGCCGAAUCAAGCAAGGGGAGGAAGCAGAGAAGAUGUAUUUAUUUAUGUGGGGGAAUUGAAGUGAAGGGGGGCCGGAGAGCUGUGUAAGUAAGUGUGUUGUUUCCUGGCGGGCGCUACUGAGACAGUAUGCGAAGGGGCUUUCCGAUGGUUGUCUGAUUCUGAUAUGAUACCAUAAAAUCUUCUCUCUCUCUCUCUCUCUCUCUCUCUGCCUUUUUUGACAAAAAAUUACAUAAACGCAUAUCAGAAUACUAAUAGUCAGUCAGUCAGCUGGAGCUCGGAUCCAUUUGGGCGGUGUCGGAGUCUAAUUCAUCUUCUUUUGAAUCUUUUUCUUGAAUUCCCCCGCUAUCCUUCCCCAGUCCCCCCGCCCGCCCCUCCUUUUCAAUUCCUUCCUGCUUACUACUCACCCUUCUUUUCACAUUUCAUUUUCCGGUUCCAACCUUUCCUUCCAUUUUUUUUUGGUUUAAAACCCACAGUUCCACGCAACUAAUCGCUGUCACUAGUCCCCCUUUCAUAACUCACAGUUUUUUGUAUGAGUGUUUCGAUAAAUGGACCCUGCGAAGACACUUCAAAAGCCGGCAACUUUUGAAGUGCUCCGCAGCACUUAACUACUAAACCCCCCAAACCCCCCAAGCGAUGUGGGAACUUAACCCCACAGGGUGCCCUGCUGCUAAGAAGUAAAGACCCCCCAGACUCCCCGAGACAGGUUUUUCCCUUUCAUAACUCACAGUUUUUUGUAUGAGUGUUUCGAUAAAUGGACCCUGCGAAGACACUUCAAAAGCCGGCAACUUUUGAAGUGCUCCGCAGCACUUAACUACUAAACCCCCCAAACCCCCCAAGCGAUGUGGGAACUUAACCCCACAGGGAAUCGCUGUCACUAGUCAACAGUGCGUACAACUGUAAACGAAUCAAAUCGAAUCGAGUAUCUCAUGUUUGAGCUCUGUUCGUUAAGUGAUUCGAACAACGUUCGUGUUCGUUUGUUAAUUUUCGAACUCCAAAUUUGUGUUCGUGUUCGGCUCGUUAAGCAAAGUUUCGUGUUCGAAUUCGAGUUCGUGUUCGGUUCGAAAUGCUCGAAUCCAAAUUAUUUUAAGCCUUAAAUAUGCCAUGCAAAUUAUUACUCAUUCUAAAAAAUAAUUAAAGUAUUAAGUGACUAAAUUCUAUUAUUCAUUAACUAUAUAACUAAGGUUGUGUUUGGAUUGCAUUUUCCGUCAUUUUUCAUGGAAAAAUUACUGUAGCGAUUUGAUAUAUGUGAGGGAAAAAGGUGAUAGGGAAAUGUGAUCACGGAAAACGAUAAUAUUUUCCGACGAAAACCUUCAAUCCAAGCAAGGCCUAACAUUAACAUAAAAACAACAAAUAAAAAAACAAUUUGCCCUCCAAGUAUAAAAGUUCAGUCAUAAAAUUAACCUUAAAUUUUGUCAAAUGAUAAUUAUGUUCAUGUUCGCGAACGUUCGUUAAAACUUGCGAACAUACUCGUGUUCGCGAACGUUCGUUUAACAUGUUCACGAACGUUCGUUAAAACUUGCGAACAUGCUCAUGUUCACUCGAUUAUUAAUCGAACAAAAAAAUUCGUUUGAACUCAAUCCGUUUAAAGUUUCGAACGAGUCUUUUACGAACACGAACGAGUCGAAACGAAAUGAGCUACCGAACAACUCGGUUCGUUUAACAGCUCUAGCAGUGCGUAUUGCUGCUGCUGUUUUACCAAAUAUGUUACGAUUGUUUGCUUAAUUAUUCUAUUAGCUUUUCCUCUUAAUGUUGUAAAUUUUUUUUAAAGGAAACAUAUCCGUUUGGUUUAGGAUGCAAAGAAAAAGGGUGAAAAAAAGGAAAGGAGGUGGUAGAUGAUACUGCUAGAGGGCCCCUCGGGGUGCAGCUCACCUGGUCGUGUCGUCUGUCUUUACAGCAUCGAUCACAGUUCGAUUCUCCCUGAAUUAAUGCGCUGGGGUGAUUCCAAGAUACUCCUGUGUCGACAAAAAAAAAAAAUACUACUAAAGUAAAAAAAUAGGACAGAGAGCAAAUUUUACUUCAUGGGACAACUUUGUCCUUCCUUACAUUAAUAAUCAUUACUUCAAUUAAUUCGUUCAAGCCCCGUAACAAACCUCUUUUUUUUCCUGUUCUCAACUCCAACAAAUUUUCGGUCCUUGAUCAUUAUGAUCGCCGUAACACUAAAGCUGCCGUCGAUCACUGCCACAACCAUUGACCUCCUGCCCAAUUUCAUCUAAAAAAUUCAACAAAAGCUUAUUAGUCUUCCCUAAUUGAAAUGGACAAACUUCCCUUUGACACUUUCUUCCAACCAAAUUUCAUCUCUCAGCAUAUGUCCUCAUUUUUCUAUUCCAAUCAACCAUUCAUAAGUUUAAAGGCGAGAUAUGUGACACAUGUUAAUCCAAAUAAUAUGCAAGUUCAACCAAUAAAAGGGUGACCAUUAACUACUCUUGGGAAACAAAACAAAAAAAAACAAAUGCCUUGCAUAAUCCAUUUGUUGGUUCUUUCUUCACGAUCAUUGAUUUCAAUUCUAGAAGAUGAGAAAGAAAAAAAAAAAAAAGUGAUUCGCAGAGUAUUGGAGUGUUUGGAUAGCAUUACUAUUAUCUCAAAUAAUAUUUCGUUUCCCAAUCAGACUAGCAUUCAUUUGAUUGUAAGGUGAGGCAUUUGAAAUUAACUGCUGAUGUAUUAGUAUUAAAUUGUUCUUUCCCUUUCUCCCUUCUCCUUUGCCUCUUUAAUUCUACUCCAACAUGAUCAUUUUACGAGAAAUCCUCUGUGGCCUGCACAUCCAUCCGUCCCACUGUAACUGUUGGUUGAAUUAUGGUAAUUUUUUGAUUGACAAGAAAUUUCAUCGAGUAGGUGUACGUAUACGAUCCUAGAGUGGAGGAUUCAAUUUAUUCAGUCUAAUUAAUGAACAUUUGGCUACAGGGUUUUACAUUUCAAUCCACGGACUACCGAAUUUGCAAGAAUUACAACGCUUCAAUACGUUGACAAUAAUUGACUUCUGGCUGCCAGUUUUGAAUAAUAAUAAUGAUGACAAAAUACUCUUAUCGAUUAAUUUGUCAUGGCUAUUGAUGGAUGUCUUAAAAUGAAUAGAAGUUGAUAUUUGGCAAAUAAAAAAUGAUUUAGACCGUAAUGAAUAGGGGUGUGCAAAAUCGAAAAAUUUCGAUUUAUCGACCGAAUUCGAAAUUUUUGAAAUCAGUAAUUCGGAAUUCGGCACUGAAAUCGGAAUUUCCGAUUUCGAAAUCAGAAAUCGAAUUCGGAAUUUUCGAUUUCAAUUUCGUUUUAUAAUAUAUAUAUUAAUAUUUAUUUAUUUAUAUAUAUAAUAUUUUUUAUUUCAAUUUCGUUUUAUAAUAUGUAUAUUAAUAUAUAUUAUAUAUAUAAGAAUAUUUUUUAUAAUAUAUGCAAUAUAAAAUUUAUAUUAUAUAACAAUACAUCUAACAAAAAAGAAAAAAAGGGGAAAAAGGUUUCCGAAUUCCGAAUUGAAUUCGGAAUCGAAAUCGAAAUCGGAACUGGUGAAUUCGAAAUCGAAAUCAGUUGGUAAUUCUUAUGCCAAAAUUCCGAAAAAUUCCGAAUUCAAACUUCCGAAUUAUCGAAUUCGAAUUCGAUGCACACCCCUAGUAAUGAAAGAAAGGUACUUGUUUGGAUUGCAUUUUUUUAAAUUUUUUGUAAAAAAAAUUAUUGUAACGAUUUGAUAUACGUGAGAUAAAAAGAUAAUUAAAAAAUGUAUUCACAGAAAAUUGCUAUCCAAACAAGAUUUCCCGCCUUUACAUGAUUCCUGAUAUAUGCUCGUUGGCGCCUGUUCUCGUUAAAUGAUGCCCAAAGCCAAAGGAACGAUAUCCUCUUUGGAACUACAGAGUCUGGCAGAGGCAGAGACAGCGACGUCAGUAGCACAGGGCAUUGGGGCUCCCAACUCAUUCUCAUCCUAUCGUCAAAAGUUCUAUAGACUAACGGUAACAAAAGAAACUCAAGACGGGGACCCUUCUCCCUGUCCCUGACCUUUGGACCAACAAUUAUAUACUCUAACAAUUCGAUUCCAGUGAUUCAUUUCCAAGCCAAAAACCCAAAAGAGAAACUGUACGAAGUAAAGGAAGCCUCGUCAAAAAGCAGCUUCAACCUGCAAUAUAUCACACCAUUUCCUUCCAUAAACCAACAAGAAUCUAUCAAACUACACUUUUUAUGAAGUCGUAGAAUCAGUACAGUCUUUACUUCUUCCAGUCCUUCAUUCCUAAGUCUAAGAAUGGAGGAGUAGUUUCUUUGUUCUUGGCGGAAACUACUGUUGCACCAUUGACCUGCAGCUCCUCAACCCCAUUUACAGUUUUACAGCCGCCAAUAAACAUACAUCCACCCCUCCUCCACCCUCCAUACAUAACAUUACUUCAUUUUGCUGACAUUCAUGAUUAAACUUAACAAACGUAAUCAAUAGAACCUCAACCAUUUAACUUCAAACGAUGCCUCCAAGAAUAAAUGAAUGAUUCGCAUCAUACCAAAGGGAAAAAAUAUUUGAUAUGAAUGAUUGAGCUGUACAGUUGUAAGCAAGACCAGUUUAGAGCUAAUUGUAUCUUACCUCACGGUUAUCAUUCAACCACUCAUUCUUAGCCAUACCAUGGAGAAGAAUCCCAAGUUUCUGCUGAAGCACAUUCAUUCAUUCUGGAUGUCGGAGCUAUCGCUUGAGAUUCACUAGUCCCAAAACUAAAGGAAUGAAAUGCAACAAUCUCAGGAGUCACAAAUCGACACAAGUUACGGAACAAGAAGUCAUGCAUCCAUAAUUUGGGCUAACUAAACGUGCUGCGCCUCCCCGUACAUUCCCUCUUACUCCACUACACGUCUCAGAUUCAACUAAAUCCCCAGUUUUACUACAUGGGCAUGCAUUGUGAAGUCCUACACCAGUUGGAAAUUGUGCUAUGGCUUCUAAUCUACAGCUUCUUCAUCUGGAAGGGAAAAAAAAAGGGAAAGACACUGAUUUCACAAGUUACCAGAAAUAUUCAUACAUUCCGUAUGAAACUUGACAUAAAAUGAUAAAAUUUCUAAUCGACCAUUUUGUUUCAUUGAACAGCCAGAACCCGACAGCAGGCAGAGCAAACUUUGCUUCAUUUGGACUGACAGGUUAAUUAAAAUCAGCAUCAAAAGCAAAACCCGUUCCAAACUCUUCAUUUCAAUGUCUGUCACACUCCUGGUCCCAAUCCCCUUCCCGGUAAUCAACCUUCUUUCAUUGAGGCAUUUCGUAAAGUUUUUUUUUGCACUUGUCAUUCUCUAAGAACUAAGUUAUGAAGGAGAGAAGCACUGGCUCAUCUAUUCCCAAUCAUCCUGCUGGUAAAUCAUCGCAAGGAAAGAAAAAAUGUAAAGGUAAUAAACUGAGCUACUUUGAAAGAUUAAACAGAGUAUGAGUUCGAAUAUUCCUAGAUAUGUCAGCUUCAAGUGGAAGAAAUUAUCUAUAGCCACCGGAGUUAAUUCAUGAAUCUUGGAAUUAAUAUAAAUACAUUCUGGAAUUAAUUCAUGAAUUUUGUGCCAAUAGUUCAAAGUUUCUUCAGAUUAUAUUGGAACGGGAAAAUAUACGAAGCUUAAGCUGCACAAAUGACAAAACACACAGACCUUCUGCAAAAUGGUUGACUUUAGACUCUAAACAAGACACUUACUAUGGCUACCUAUCAAGCACAGGCUGGCACGAACAACCAGAACGUACCAGCAAUUUGCAUUUCAGAAAAUAAAGCGAAUGCUACAGAAAAAUACACAUUUUCUCAUAGAACUCUAUACUACCAGAAAUUGAAAGGCAUACUCAUUCUUACACCAACAGAAGUAUGGUGGAGAAGGAAACAUGAAAACAAAUAGCAUUGCAUCAUCAUAAAAGGAAACAAACGGGAACUCAACAGCUACACGUUCAUAAACCUUUAUAACCAACAAAACAGGAGUAACCUCCAGUGGAGAAUGCAUUUUGUUGCACUAAUAAAUUAACUCUAGGUGUUGCCAUAUCUGUCCGGCUUAUUUUGCUCUUUAGCAUAAAUAAAGUUAAUCAUACAUUUUUAUUUGGAGUAUGAAAUGUAACAUAAAAAUGCAGAUGGCUCAAGUAGCAGCAAGAAUCACAAAGUAGCAAGGACUAGCCAAAGUUUUCUUCACUCAGCAUACACAUUGAAAGCCUUGCAUGCUUAAAUGGACAUGUAUAAAAGAAGAAUAGAUAGCUUUUUUUGCCCCUUUCUGUAGAAUACGGCAUAACCGUCAAAAGACACAAUUGCAUUAAUCAUCAUGGCUAACAAUCAGUGCGGGUACUAGGAGAAAAAAGAUACUACAUCGUCGCCAAUCUUGCGAGGUUGUAAAUUCCAAAGAAAAGAGACUACACCAAAUAUACACUCCAGCAGUUGCAUUAAUGAAAAGGAGACAUGAAGAUGAAGUGAGGAUUUACUAAUGCCGAUAGAAGUAGUCCAUUUGAUUUAUUAUUGUGCAUCGAGGUGGUUCAGAGAGAAGAGAGAUGGUGGAUGGGUGAAGACUUAGACGUAGCCACCAUUGACGCGAAUGAUCUGACCAUUAACCCACCCCCGCAUCAGUAGCCAGGAAUCCCACCAGCGGAGCCACGUCCUCUGUUUCGCCCAGUCUACCGAGCGGGCUCUCGUCCACAACCCUCUUGAUCAUCUCUUCUGUCAUCCCAGCAAAGAACAUGUCCGUGGCGAUAGGCCCGGGGCCACGCAGUUGGCGGUUAUACCGGUCCCCUUGAGCUCCUUGGCCAGUAUCUUGACCAUGGACUCCACGGCGGCUUUGGACCCCACGUAGGCAGCGAAGCCAGGCCUCAAGUCGGCCACCAAGGAGGUGGUCAAGCAGAUGAUCCUCCCUCCGCCGCCGCGCUUGAUCCUGUUGGCAGCCUCCCUGCAGCACAAGAAGGCCCCCUGGCGUUAACGUUGAAGAUGUUGUCGAAGUCUUCCAGGGCGGUGUUGGCCAGGGUUGGGUACUUGGAGUCGAGUACACCAGCGGAAUUGACGAGGAUAUGAACAGGGGAGGAGUUGAAGGCGGACUCGGCGGAGUCGAAGAGGGACUUGACCUGGGCUGGGUCGGAAAUAUCGGCUCUGACGGUGAUGGCGCGGGAAGCAGAAGCAGAAUUGAUUUGGGAGGCAACGAGGUCGGCUUGAGCUGGGUUGGAGGAGUAGUUGAUCACGAGGUUGGCUCCGAGAGAGGCAAGAUGGAGGGCUAUGGCCCGCCCAAUUCCCCUGGAGCCGCCGGUGACGAUGGCUACUCGGUCUUUGAGAGGGAGGGGGAUGGAAUCAGCCAUGCUGCCGCCUGAUCCUGACUCCUGCUAACUGCUAAGUUGAAGUAGCGAAAAUGGAUUGGAUGUCUUUGGUUUGAUUUGGGAUUAUUUAUAGCUACGGACAUUGCCUUAGUUAUACUGAUACAUGCCAUGCGGGAAUUUUUUUUUUUUUUAAAACAAACGACAUUUUGUGGUUUUUGGGUUGGGGGGGUUGGUUGUUGGUUUAAGGGACCGCUGCACAUUGAUUAGAAUCUGACAUUUGCAUCAUAAUCCACACAAAUGGCGGCUCUCACCAUUCUUACGAAUAAUCUGGCCAAUGACCCACCCCAGCACCAGCAGCCAAGAAGCUACAGGGUUUCUUCACCAUUCCUCUGGUUACCCUAGAAUGGAAGUCCACGCAUAAGGAGGCCCCGGUAGGCAAUUAUCCUGGAUCCUAUGAGCUCCUUGACCAGUAGCUUCACCAUGGACUUUAGGGCUGUCCUCAGAGCCAGCAAAUGUCCUAAGCUGGGAGCCAAUUAAGCUACAGCCAUGGAUGGGGAUAAGCAUAUGAUGAUUCCUCAUCUGUGCCUUAUCCUGUUGGCAGCCUCCCUGAAUCAUGAGAAGCCAACCCCUGCAUUGACGCUGAACCUGCUUUCAAACUCUUUGAUGGUGGUGUUUGCCAAUAAGGGAAACUUGGGGAUGAAGAGCUGACAAGUGGAUGAAACUAUGAAGCAGGGAGCUUGAGCAGAGUGAUGUACUUGAUGACAAGCUCGGCCCCAAGUGAGCCUAGAUUGAGGGCAAUGGCCAGCCCUAUUUCAAGAGAGCUUCCAGUUUACGAUGUCUAACCAGUCUUACAGAGGAAGGAUGGUGGCUUGCAUGCUUCCUGUCUGAUUGGUGGUUUGUGGUAAUAUUGGUUUGAACAGUAAUCCUAAGGAUUCGAGCAGAGAAGAAACUGACAGCUGGUUAUAUUCUUCCCAAGAUUUGGUAGAAAUACCAAAAAAUAGACUCGGGAAGCUUUUGUCUUCUUGUUUGGCAUGUAAAUAUGUUACUUCCAUCCCAGCCGAUCAAUGAUAUGUAGCACUAUUAAUCUUGGAUCCAAUAAACUCAUAUUGGACGGAUAUUGAUUUAUUGAACACCUCCUUCAGUUGAUUAAUAUUGAAAUUAAUUUGCUCUGCAGAAUCAGACAGAGUUCUCAUCCCAUGUCUACUGCAUCUGCCACCAGGAAAAUACAAAAGAAAUAUAAAUUUUCCAACCUUACCACAUUGAUCAGCAUAUGCCAAAAUAUAGCACUGUGAAAAUUUUAUGUUAGAUAGGAUUUUUGGAGUCCAGAUUCUAUGACAAUUUUCAAUUCAAUACAGCACUAUUAAUUAUAAUACAUGAAGUCGAUUAGGAUAUGCUUGUACUCACAAGGUUUUUUGUCCCCCUUCUUUUGGGGUAAUCAAUAAGCUAGUGUAUUUGAUAUAUUGACCAGUCAGAAAUGGGCUUCUAUUGUUCAUAUGACCUCCAAAAUUCAGUGUUUGUUUCUUCAAUGCAAGUACAAUUAUGUGAGAUACUGAGGACUACAAAAAAAUACCUUGGCUAUUUUGUUCCCUUAAUUACUAAGUCUUGAAUUGUAUUGAAUCAACAAUCGAAUAGAGAGGAGAAGAUAUCAGAACACUGUUUCUCCCCUCCAAUUAUAAACAUCUAUCUUGCAUUAUUAUCUACAAGUGAGAAUCUCACCUAAAAACUUGAUUCCAGUUUGGCUUGUCCAUAUCUCCACGAAAGGACGCAUAAAGACCAGGGUCCUCCUGAAAAAGAACAACACCAAAUCAACAUCGACAUUUUCAUAAUGCCUCAGUACUCAAAACAACUUGGCAAGCACCUGAUCAUGCAGAAACCAAAGUGGAUUGAGUUAUGAGUGUGACAAGACUUGACCAAGGGCUUUACCUUUGAAAAGAGAUACAUAAAAGACAUCAUCACGUGUAAGAAAGGACAAUUGAAACUUAAUGCUUGUGGCGUUCAUCAGACUACGAUUUCGUUAAAUUAAAGACACGCAAAUAGCACAAUUAUCAUUUAGCCAACUAACCACGAAAAGUAGUUCUUUGUAAGUGCUAAGAAGUUCAAAACCAAAACCCAACACACACUAGAAUUGACUGACACUACUGGUAUUCCAAGAGAAAGCUGUAAAACUAGAUAAUGCAAAUUUGCCAUGAUCAAAAAGAGAUAGGUUUAGGUAAAAUAAAGGCCUAAAAUAAAUGCUGUUAAACUUUAUCUGUAUAAUGGCUAAGCAGUACAAGUCUUAAAACAGUUUCAAUCUGAAAAGCAAAAAUAGAGAUGGUUGAGGGCAGAAAGAAAAUGGAGCCCCUCUGCUGUCUCCUAAUUCUACAUGAAAGGGACAAUGCAGUAGUGUACGGUCUCAACAUACUUCAAUAUGCCACAAUGUGACAACAGAAGUGGUUGUUCUUCUGUGCAGUGCAACCCAUUCAAGUCAAUAUAGAAAAAACACCAAACUGAAUGCAAGGUUGACAGGGUGUUAGUACUUGUACCAUUAUCAAUCAGACAGCAAACUGCAACGAGAUAAACCAGGAAAAGUGAAAGAACUAACCUAGUUAAUUACAAGAAAAAGGUUUUGGGAGCAAAAAUUUCCCAAUCUCCUACUUUUGGUUCUUGAGCUGGAAGCAUGAUGAUCCCACUUGUGUUCACAACUUUCUAAUAUAUCAAGCUACCAGUAAUCUUUGCAUGAACAAAACCAUCCUUAAAAUGAUGGAACCGGUAUGUAUCCCUUACAACAAUAGUCCGAUUUUCUACCUUUGAAACAUACUUAAUCCAAUUAUGGCAAUCAUUACAGACCCGAAGGUUUUUCAUCACUCGUAAUGGAAUUGAAUCAGACAAGCUCAGCAGUCCAAAGGCAAUAGCCAACUUUUCGCUGUGGAUCAAUGCAGUUGGGUCUUUUUGACCAAGCUCCAGUCAUUCCAAAUGCUAUAUCGGUCCUGUAUGUAACCCAUUGCAGCAACCCUAACAUUUAAAUCCUCAAGAAACGCGUAGAUCUGAUCUGCAAGAGGAUGGAGCUGAUCACCGACGAAAAAGGCAUGGAACGAGUUUUUAACUUCAAUCCAGCUACGACCAGGCUCUUUCUUUACACCUCUGUCUUUCAUCAGCUUCCUUGCAUGAUUGCGAUAAACCCAUUUCCCGGAAACCGCAUACAUAUUGGAUAGAAGAACGUAGGUAGCAGAGUCAUUUGGCUCUAAUCUCAAAAGAUGUUUAGCCGCCAAUUCUCCAAUUUCCAUGUUCUUGUGAACUGUGCAAGCACUUAAGAGUGUUCUCCAGACCAUUGCAUCUGGUUCAAUUGGCAUAGUCUCCACAAAUUCUAUUGCACGGGACAAAUGACCUGCCCGUCCUAAAAUAUCUACAAUACAAGCAUAAUGUUCUGAUUUUGGCACCAGAUCAUGUUUUUCUCUCAUGGACUUGAAAUAGCUGAGCCCCUCAUCCACCAAACCCACAUGGCUACAGGCUGAUAAAACUCCGAUAAAAGUAACGUUAUUUGGCCUCACAUCCAGUUGUUUCAUUUCCUCAAACUGUUCAAUUGCUUCGGCGGCACAUCCAUGUUGAGAAUAGGCCGUGAUCAUGGCAUUCCAGGAAACUUCAUUUUUCUGAGGCAUUUCAAGAAACUCUCUUUUGGCAUCAUCAAGGCUCCCGGUCUUCGCAUAUAAUGUGAUCAACACAUUUGAAGCUUCUAUCUCAGCAAUAUACCCAGUUUUUAUGAUUUUGGCAUGAUCUGCUUCCCUUGUUUUAAGUUUGUUGUAUUAGCAGCUGCACUGACCACAGACCCAUAAGUGAACAUAUUGGAUUCUACUCCAGCUAGAUUCAUCUUAGAGAACGUGUAUAGAGCUUCCUCCCAGUGCCUGCUUUGUGAAAAGCCUGAUAUCAAUGCAUUCCAUGAGAUGUUAUCCUUAUUUUUAUUUUUGUCAAAUGCCAAGUACGCAUCCUGUACUUUGCCGCAUCUAGCAUAAAGGCUUAUUAGUGCAUUGCUAAUUGACGGGUCCAAGGAAUAGCCAGAGGUGAUUGAUUGUGCAUGAAUUUGUCGUCCUUGAUUGAUUGCUUGAAGUCCAGCACAUGCAGUAAGAGCACUUGCAAAUCCUAUAUUAUCUGAUUGAAUGCCCAAGUCUUGCAUUUCUAUGAAAAGUUUGAGGGCUUCCAAGAAAAGAUCAUGCUGAGUGUAUCCAGCAAUCAUUGCUGUCCAAGAGACAAUAUCUUCCUCUGUGAGACGCCUGAGAAUUUUCAGCCCAGUAGCCAGAUUUCCAUGUUUUGUAUACAUAUCAAUAAGCACACUGCAGACAUAAGCAUUUUGGUAAAGUCCAGUUUUGAUGACUUGACUGUGAAUUUGCUCCCCUAAGUCAAGAGCUCCUACCAGAGUACAGGUUCUCAAGAUACUUGGGUAGGUAUAUUGAUUAGGCUGCAGGCCUCGACUCUGCAUCUGUUCAAAAAUCCUAACGGACUCGUUCAGAUCACCUCUGAGACCAUAAGCCACUAGCAUCACAUUCCAGAGAACCACAUUAUCUUUCUGUGUUGUGAGGAAGAAUCUAUGAGCUGAUUCAACAUCAGAACAUUUGACAUAAAGGUCAAGCAGAGAACCUUCAAUGAUGAUAUCUGAACACAUUCCAGCCUUAAGCGCAUAAGAGUGCAGUUGUCUUCCCUUCAGAAGAGCUCCAUUGAUGCGCAAGCGCUCAAAAGGCUUGAAAUUGUAACACAGUCAGGCUUCAAGGAGUCAAUCUGCAUUUUCUUGAAUAACUCAACUGACCUCUCAUUAUUUCCUUGUUGAACAAGUCCUGAUAUAAGUGAAUUAUACGAGACCCUAUCCAUCUGCUGCAUUUUGCUGAAAAUUUGUUCAGCAGACAUCGGGUGACCGAAGCGAGAAUAUAAGGUGACGAGAGCAUUACACACAUAAACCUCUGAUGCAAAUCCCCACUUAUAGACAAGAGCAUGAAGCUGCAAUCCAGGUCAUAAAACUCUAUCUUGGAGCAUGCACUUAUAACACAUGAGAAAAUAUAUGGAGUAGGGUUGAUUCCUGAUAUGCGCAUCUCAUUAUAGAGGAUGAUACUGUCUUCUUCACGCCCAUUGUUAGAGAAACCAGAUAUCAUGGCAACCCAAGAUACACUGUCCCUUAAGAACAUAUUCUGGAAGAUUUGCUUAGCAGAAUUGAUGAACCCAUUCUUCGAGUACAAGUCAAUAAGAGGGUUACAAACGACUGUAGCUGCACCAAAACCGUAUUGGAUGACCUUAGCAUGUAUGUGUUCAACGUAUUGAAAAGUGACUUUGCCAGCACCGCAGGCCCUCAAAACACUAGCCAAUGUCCAUUCAUCCGGCAUAACAUUAUCUGCAACCAAACGCGAAAGGAGUCUAAAAACUUGAUUGUUCAAUUUUUCCCAAGAAAACCAGCUAUCAAUGUAUUCCAAGAGGACAGGUUUUUAGAGGGAAAAUCAUCAAACGUCUGCAAAGCAGAAAAUAGAUCUCCACAAGCAACAUAAACAUCAAGGAGCCAACACUGGAAGUCGUGGUCUUGACCGAAACCCAACUUAAAGAUCUUUCCUUGAAUCUUUCUGGUAUGGAUUAAGGACCCAAUGUUCAUACUAUAACAUUCAUUUACAAGCUCUAUAUAGGUCUUAGAAUAAACGGCAGGAAGAUCAACUGAGUCCGCAGCAUUUCCUUUUUCAACAGAUAAAUCAUCCAAAGCUCGUGCAGCCGCAAUAUUACUAAAAGCAGCAAACUUUAACCGAAUAGAGUUCUUCACAAGAGCUCUGUAAAAUUUGACUAGUAAGUGGACUAAGAUCUUGCCAAAGAACAGCAAUAAAGUAGCAUAUUGCAUAUAAAAAGUUUUUUUUUAAAAAAAAAAAAAAAAGAUAAAAGGAGUGAAUGAAGAAAAAUGGAAUAGUUGGGAGUAGCUUAUCGACCUUUGGGAAGUGAUGACGAAGAAGCAGAGAAUAGGGGCACAGCCCACCAAACUUUAUUAGGUUUGAAAUCAUAUGACUCCUUACUAAUGAUAAUUGUAGAUGGUGUUUGGCGAGGAGGAAAAUAGAGAGAAAUUGGGGAGGGUGGGGUGGGAGCAGAGAGACUUUGUUUGAAGUAGAAGGGGGCCGCUAUUGUUGCUGCUAUGGAGUUGCGGUUGUUUGGGUGGAAUCAGCGAGAGAGAGAGAGAGAGAGAGAGACAAAAGCAGGGGAAGGGGGCAACCUUGCAGCCUUGGACGGCGGUGAGUGGUUGUUGGGAGGCUGCUGCCGCCACUGCUGUGAGUGGUCGGUAAGCCCCUUGUGGCUAAUUUGACGGGCCAAAAAGCGUCUGCUGACAGGUUGCCGUGCUGAGUUAGCACGGCAGCGACAGAGAUUUUUAAAUUUUAAAUGGCGUCGUAGCAGAUUUUUGAUAGCAGCCGUUGAUCAAUGGCUAGAUCGACGGCUAGUAGCUUCUCAUGUAUUGUAAACCCGCUGAAAACCCUCAACUCUCUGAUUUCUACCACAUUUCUCUCAUCUCUCCCUCUCUCUCAACCCUCUCAAUUCUCAUUCUCUCUCGUCCGCACAAAGGAAAGGAAAAUAGGAGCAGACCUCCGCCGCCGUGUUUCCAAGUCCUGACGCAGAUGAUCUUUUAAAGCACAGCUCAAGAAGAAGUAAGGGGAACACUUUUUUAUUCUUUUAAUCAAUUAUUGUUUGUGUAUACUUUAUUUUGCUGUAUUAUAUAUCAUUGUCUUAUUUAUUUCCUGUGAAACUGGUUUUAGACAAAGAAUUUAAUUGUAUAUUGUGUUACAAUAAAGUUUAUAAUAUAUUGUUUUAUGUUAUGUUGUUUAGGUGGUCCGAGCAUGUAAAUUAAUAGUAAGUUUAAAUUAAUGGUUCAUAAAAAUAAAAUGAUUUAGAAUUAAUAUGUAAUUUAAUUUAUGACAUUGAAGAACAAAUUAAUAUAGUAUUAACAUUUUGUUCGUAAUUUCAUAAUACUAUUAAGUUUUGUUAAUUGGCCAUGUGAUUAAACAGAUUAGUUAGUUACUAAUUUAAUGGGUUAAAUAUAGGAUUAAGAAUAAAUUAAUUUAGGUAUCAUUGAUGUAGUUUUGACCUAUAAUCAAUGUAAUUAAUUAGGUGUAAUUAAUAAUUUAAAUAAGUGUAAUCAAUGUAGUUAAUCAUUUAAAUAGGUGAAAAAAAAUAAUUUAGAUAAGUGUAAUUAAUCGUAGCUAAUAAUUUAAAUACGUGUAAUUAAUGUAGUUACUCAUUUUAAGUAGGUGUGAUUAAUCGUAGUUUUAGCAUGUUAGUUUUUGUCGAUGGUGAGAUGUAUUAAACUAAUGUUGUGCUAUAUUAGGGAGAACAUGUCGAGCAAUAAUUCCUUGGUGAUUCAUCUUUAUUGGGGAGGAAAAAUUGUAUAUGUUGGAGGAUCAAUGUUAUAUGAUCCGCCUAUGCCGAAAAAAGUUAUGUUCCUCAGAGAAAGAGUAGGUUUUGAUGAACUGGUGGACAGAGCGUACAACAUUAUGAAUCUAGACCGGAAUAAGUAUAAGAUUAGUUUGAUAUUUCGGAUUUGCCUGCAUUAUGGGGUGUUUGGUGCAAUGCCUUUGAUGGAUGAUAAUGGAGUCGACGGAAUGUACUUUUUGAAAGCUAAUAGUGGACAUGCCACCGAGAUCUACAUAGAGGUGGAGGAGCUCUUAAGCUUGGGACGAUAUGAUACUCAAACUUUGCAAAUUGCAAAUCCACAUAUUGAUGGAGGCACUAGUCUAUGUGGAAAGGAGCCAAUGAAUAUAGGCGGGACAACUAGCUUAUUUAAAAGUCAGUUGAUCCAGUUGGAUUCUGGAGAUGCCCAACCGACUCGGAGAGGAUGCAGAAGGGGUACUGGGCGGCAACAUAUUGAGAUGGAUCGUCCAAGCGGUAGUCGGCAGGCAAAACGCAUGUCAAUAGUUGAGCCUCGUGAUUUGGAGACUAAUGCAGCUACAGUGUUCGAGCCCACGACAAAUACUGAUGUUGAAUUUGUAGAUGUGGACGUGGAUUCCGAACCAGAACCAGACACCGAUGAUUCUGUUGAUGAUGACCACAACUAUGAUGCAUCUGAGCAGAGAAGUAAGUCAGGCGAAGGUGGUAUCACCUCAUACACGUUGAGCCUAGUGCACCAUGUACCAUUGAUGUAACACCACAAUUGCGGUAUGAAGCCGGUGUUGAUGCUACGUUACGAUUUGAUCCUCUAGAUGUGAGAGGUGUUGAGAAGCUCAAAUUUUGGAAUGAGCACACGAAAGAGCUACAAUUGGGGUACCUAUUUCACACCAAAGAACAUGUAAAGCGGGCAGUGAAGUUGUGGUCUAUAAAGAAAAAUAGAGAGUAUAAAGUCCGAGAGAGCACUCCAACAACAUGGUAUGUCCGAUGCAAGGCUCGCAACUCCACACCUUCGUGUAACUGGCAGUUGAGAGCAACCUUACGCAGUUCUCAUAAGCUGUGGAUGAUUGUUACUCUUGCAGAUGAACAUACAUGUGUCUGUGUGUGCAACAAUAGUGACCACAGACACUUGAGUGAGGAUAUAAUUGCCGAGUACAUUAUCCCUCACAUCAUCAAAGAUCCAUUUUUCAAAGUAAAGAAAAUCCAAACAAUGGUGAAAAAGGAGCUCCACUGCAAUGUGUCAUACAAGAAAGCUUGGUCUGCUCGGCGCAAGGCUAUUAAUAUUAUAAACGGUGAUUGACCAUCAUCCAUAUCGUAGCUGCCAAUGUACCUGCAGGAGUUCCAAUGAUUCAACACAAGCAUGUCAAAGGACAGGGGCUAAGAGAUUUUGUUACUCGACAACACCUUGUGAUAAAGGCAAAAGAAGCGUGCAUCCUUAAAUUGCCAUUUCUUGUACAUUUUUUACACUAAUUACUUUAAAUUAUCUCUUUAAUUAUUUGAAAUUUAAUUUAUUUUUCUAUAUUUUUAUUCAACCUAAUUGUUUUAAAGUAGAAUAACAUUCCCUAUUUAUUUUAAAUAAAAAAGUAUAAAUAAUUAGAUGAAUAAUUAAAAUUAGAUAAUUUACAUAAUUUAAGGUUAUCCAAAAAAAGUAAAAGAAAAACUCGCACUCUAUCUAAACUAAGAGAUUUUACUACAAAAGACUUACAAACUAUGGGAGAACCCCUCAUUUUUUUUUAAAAAAAAUUGCAUUUUAUGGGCUCUUAAUUUAUAUUACAAAAAACUAUUUCAACACUGUAGACAUUAAAAAUAAAAAAUUUUCAAAUUCUUCAGAGACAUGGCGAGCUCUCAUUCUUUAAAAAAAAAAAAAAAUACUAUUGUUGCUGUGCUGAGCCAUUUUCUGCAGAGUUCCUGUCUCUGCAUGGAAUAAGCUACCAGGAAGAGCAGUAAGCAAGUACGACGUGCCAUUGCCACCACUUUUAUGUCAAAUUAGACCAUUUGGUGGAUUACUGGUAUUUCCUCAAGAUCACUUGCAAAUCUUUUGCAAUCUCCAUCACAAAGAGGGUCGAGAUGGCUUCGCUUGGAAAAGUGGAUAGGAGACAAGAAUGCUCCAACAUAUCUGUUUUUAGUUGAUCCGUUCUGGGAAUCCCGUGACAAACAACAGAUCAUGGUACAAAUCGCACGGAACUCUAAAGCGCUAUAAAGCAUCUGGAUCACAUCACUUAGAAGCACUUGAUGAUCAUCACAUCAAGCACGAGCUUAGAACAGACAAUUAUUGUUUGCUGCACACUAGUUAGCGUCCCUGAAACCCCAUGUGCCUGUUUUUUGCCAUAGAAGGUAGCCAUCUCUCCCCCCUAACCUUUUUCAAACCUGUCACUCGCUCUUCCUCUCUUUUAGCAGCUGCCUUAGCUGCUGCUUCUCUAGCUUCCAAUUUUGCCAAUGCUUUCUGGCCUGCAUCUCUUGCUGCAGCUAAAAUAUCCAUCCCAUCAACAGCAACAGACUGGAGUUGCCGUUUAAACUGCAAACAAGCCCAAAGGAUAUAAGGCCAGUAAGUUCUGAAAAAGCAUACACUUAUACACACCUUUUUUUGGGUUUUUUGGUCGGGGAGGGGGGUGUUUCUAAGCAUACCUUCUUUGACUUCUCGUCAAUCUCUUCUCCAGGAAGUAUUCUUGGUUUCUUAUUUGGUGGUUGAACUUCAUCUGAAAAAUGGUAAAUGUUGCUUUUAUAUCCCUAGGCAAUGCAGAAGAGAACGCAUAAGAAGUAGACACCAAAAAAUGGUUCAACAAUCGUCCAAGUUCAGAUCCCGCAAAGUACAAGAUUUAGAAGGUGCACUUCUGCUGAAAAUGCUUCCCCUCACAACAAAUUCCUUGAUUAAGUUGCAUCUCAACCAUCCACAAUGGAUGAAACCAAAUGCAAAUUGGACCUGUUUCCUACUGGCGAUUCUAUAUGUCCAGAUGUUUGCUGCAUAGAUGUUUCAGCAACCAAAAGAUUUGCUCCAUCAAGGUAUCUUAGAGAUAUCCAUGGAAAUUUUCAUUCCAGGAUGAAUUUAUUUCUCUGGUACCAAGUAAUUGACCUAACUGCCUGAAGCAACUUCCACGAACAAACAAUCUUAUAAGAAAUGCAAGAUUAGCACAUCAACUGAUCAGUCUAACCAUUACUUACAAAUAUAAGUGGCACAGAAAACGUAAACGCAAAACCAUUACGGAGCACCAAACAAGUGGCUGGGGUUGCGGCAGUAGCAAUUUCACUUGGACAGAGAAAGUAAAUCAAAUUGCAAUUUGUUGUUCUGAAAGAAUUCUGAAAAUCAAGAUGUUUGAUAAAGUUCACUCACCAAUGUGAUCAAACACAAUUCCACUGGGAGCAUGCUUAAAUAGCUGAAUUCCACCACCACUAUUUGCUGCAUCCUCAUCCGGAAAAAGAUCUGUGCUACUCACUACUUCUAUGGUCUUCUCCAUAAUAUCGUGCAAAAUUUUCUGGGCCUGUCAUGUAAUGAAAUUUGAUUAGAGAAAUAAAAAAAUAUGGCAGCAACAAAAAAGAAAAGGUCAAUUUCAAUAUCACGAACAAUAAUGGUCAUAUGCAGCUCAAGCUACUGUGGUAAAGAUAUCAUUGCUCAUUUUUUCUCCAACAUCAAGAACACAUCUCAAAUUUCAAAAAAAGUAUGGAGUAAAUGAUUCUAGCCUGUAGGACAAAAUUAAAGGGGAGAUCUUGCCUACUAGUUAUAGUGGGAGAAUGGGAGGAUACCACAGUUGCGACCAGUACCUGUGAAUGGUAAGUUGGGAGAAAAGAGAAAAAGAAGGGGAUUUAGGGGGAGAAGAACAAACAACUACCAGAGAAAAAAUCAAUUCUUAUUCAUCAAUCUGUCUGCCUAGAAUAACAUAGAAACACAAGUAUUCGCAAGCUAUAAACAGUACAAAAGCUCCUAUUUCCAAUUCCAAAGAGGAAAGCACACUAAUUAUUAAACUUUAAUAUAACAAUGACUCGAAUUAGUUAACAAAAAUAAUAAGGAACUAAAUUUAUUCAGUGACAUAUUUGCCAGAUACUAGCUGCGAACAAGUAGAAGGCCAAAAAAAUCCUUAAGACCCAAAAUUUUAGAAAGUACUAAAUCUCAGAAUAUAUAAUUAUGAUAAACAAAGACACUCAAUUGACACUCAAUUGACACUCAAUUGAUGUAAUCUUGAACUUAAACAAAGACACUCAAUUGAUGUAUUCUUGCUCAGCUUAUCUUCACAUGAUGAUUAAUUUAAGGUUGAGGAAAUCAUAAAAAUCUUAAAUUUCAGAUUUACUUGAGCUCUUGGUUGACUGCAUAAAUAAACUUUUCAAUUGCUACUGAAAGGCAGAAAAGAAAGAAGAAGUGGAUUUAGUCAAAAUCCAUUUCCAUAUACAGUAUCUACUCAGAGAAAAGCCACGACAAGAGAGCAUUAUUCACUCAUUAAAGGUAAUACUCAUAAGUUCAACUUUCUUUGCCAUUCUAUAUAGAUGAACAACCUUUCGGUCCAAAAUUUAUAAUAUAAUUGAGCUAAACCUUAAUCUUGACAAAUAAGUUCCAUGCUUCUACUUUUAAAGUUAUAAAUUUUCCAUCCUAGGGCAUAGCCAAAUGUUUAAGCUACUCCUAAUCCCCUCAUUUGGUCAGCAAACAUGAAAACUAGAAAUGCAUACAAGAUGGAGAAAGAAAAAAUUGGAUUAACGAGGCAAUACCGGUGAAUAGAAGGGGAUUUUUAACAUGGCAUCCUUUCUGAAAAAUGAAAAAUGAUGGAUACAUCCCUUCUGGAAAAUGAUAAAUGAUGGAUAGGACAUAGAUUUGCGAAUGCAAUAUGACUGAAACCGGGCUUGCACAAUCACAUCUACCAAACAAAAAUUUUCAUCAAAACAUCAGGAAUGGAAGUGAUCUUUUAUAUCUAAAAUCCUAAUUCUGAAAUGAAGACGUCUAACAGUCAAUUGUCUCUAGUAUAGACGGUUGACAAUAUUAUGCUUUGAUUACUUAGUGUAACCAUUAGGCAUGUAUUAAGUAAUAAUGUUGGAAAAAUGACGGGAAAGAAGUAUCCGAAUAAAGAACUAAAAGAACCAAACUUUAAGCAUGCAAGUUACGUCAGGAGAUUUUUUUUAGAUGUAAGCAAGCAAAGGUAUCCUCUUUUUGCAUUUAGCCGUUUUAAAAGGACCCAAGCGUUCAAGGACAAUCCCUAAGUUUUGUGCUUUUCACAAAAUGCAUAAGCAGCAGCAAUCAAUGUCUCACAUAUGUUUGAAACAAUAGUUGGGGGGGGGGGGGGGGGGCGAGAAAAAAGGAAGAACCAUAUUUCCCAGAAUGGUAUAGUUUCACGUAGUUUCCAGUGGAAACCUCAAAAUCAAAGCUAAAAACUACGUAAAACCAACGUUUCAAUGCUCAAGUCCUCAACAGGCACAGAUAACUCAAGCUGAAGCUAAGAAACACCAGUAGCAGAAAGUUUCCUUGGCAUAGUGAAACAUAAGUUGGACAUUCAACUUCACUUUUCCCUGAAUUAGAAAUUAAAAAAGCAGUAAUACCCUACCCCAUUAAGCAAUCACACAAUAAACCAACCAAAAGUAUCUGAAUUUUGAUAAAUUUCAAAGGUAAAACAAAGGAAAUACUAUCUGGUAAAGAGAAGAACAACCAGAAAAAGUAUAAAAGUAUAAAAACUUGAAGAGAAUAGUAAGUACUACCUUGAGUUGAUAAUGUUUGAGGUUGUGGGAUUUAGGGUUGUCAACUUCUUGAUGAUGAGGAGUAGAGGAACUGAGUGGAGCAGGAGCAGGAGCAGGAGCAGGGGCAGGAGCAGUGGCGGCAGCAACAGAAACCGAAUGAAUGGCGGCCUUCCACUCGGCAUCUCCAUCUUCCUCUCCGCUACUACUACUGCUGCUCAUCCCUGCUGUUGUGUGGCUAUAGCCGUACUUCUUCUUCUUCUUCUGCCCCAAUAAAAAGUUCCCCUUGCUGGGCCAAAUGCGGAUGGGUCAUGGGAAAAAGUUUAGAGGGGCACUUGUAAUUAUAUUAACUUCGAGGGAAAGGUUUUCUUUUUUCGCUUUUAUUUUUUUAAGGGGACCAAAGCGCGGCGGGAAAGAGCAUCAAAAAUUGAGGCGUUCCUUUAUAGUAGUCCUAUACCCUACACACACACACACACACAAAAUCCAUCGGAGAAAAUGGCGUUGUCGUAUCCACAGCCAGGCUCCCUCACCAUCUGCGAAAUCAAUAGAGACCUCAGUUCUGUUCUGUAACAUCUCCGCCCCCCUUCCCCCCAACGCAAAAAAAAAAAAAAUCCCCUUUUCUUUUUCAAACUCCCUACUGACUCUCUCAUUUUAUUGAUGAUAUCCCCAUUUUGCUUUAAUUGUAUAAAUUGGAGAGUGAUGAUUUAUUGAUUCUAAAAUGUAUUAAUUACUGCAGUUACUGCGGACAACCUGUCCGAUGAUCGGGCCGAAGAAACCUAUGCCAAAAUUCUUGUUAGACCCUCCUCCGCCUCCAUUUUAUUUAUAUACAUAAAAGUUUUCUGCUUGCUUCAUUUCAAAACCAAAUAUGAGUUUUUUCUGAUGAGUAGAAUACUCCGUGUAUAAAUUGCAGGGGACUGUUUUCAGUCCUGUUCCAUUUCAAUACGAGACUCUAUUGACGGUGGAGGAGCAGGAAGUUGCUGCUGCUGCCCAAACUAAAGGUGGAUUGCUGUCGGCUGCACUGCAGGCCGUCUCCACUGCUUCUCUCCGACCCCUUUUCCUCCUUACUCCUGUGAGUUUUUUUAUAAGCUUUGGACUGCUACCAACUUCCGUUCUAAGAUAUCAGGAUUUGGCCCUUUUAUAUCUCCUUAUGUUUUGCUUCCAUUUUGAGGAACUUCCAAAAGGGUUUAUUUCUUCCUUGCUGUCUAUCAUUCCUGUUGACUUGUUCCGGAGAGCUCAACAAAAGCUCCAAAGAGCGGCCAGAUUUUAGAAUUAGCCUUCCGACACUAGGAUCACCCAUGUAAUAAUAUUACACCUGUGCUAUCUUUAUAGUGCAGUAGGAGAGGAUUGGGGUUGCAGCAUGUGUGUUGGGAGAGGGGAUAGGGGAGAAGGGGGCAAGGCAAGCAAAAGAGUGGCAUAUCAGCUACCUCUCCUACAAUCUGAAAAGCAGAUGAUUCGUAUCUUUUCCCAUUCUUUGAUUCAUUUUAGAACUGGCUUAACUAUACCCACUUCUCUGAUCCACUUGCACUUUACAUAAUGACAAUAAUUAGAACGCCUUAUUGGUUAGCUUUCAGUUCUAUUCGCUUCCAUGGUAACACGUCUAAUUCUUAACCACUUUUACUUGUCAUUCUUUGUUGGUGUUAUCAUGAAACUAAGAAGCAUUGGUUCAAGCUUUCAGUUUUAGGCUGCUCUGGAUUGGAAUAUAAAUUAUCUCAAGUUUCCACUUUUCUUUUUUGUUUUAAUAUCAGAAACUAAAAAAUGUUACGUUUUAGAUUUUCAUCAGAGUAGAAGACAAGUUGGAAAGAUUCCUAAUUUUUUCUCACAUUUUCUUUUAGGUAAAAUUGUUGCAAGAUGUUGAUCUCUAUGGCCUGAGCUGGCACCAACACAAAAAUAUUUUGGCUUUUGUUUCUGGCCCAAAUCAUGUGACAAUUCGCGAUUAUGAGGAUUCAGGUUUCUGGCCUAUUAUCUUACUUUAUUUUGUAUUCCAUUUAUCGUCUUUAGAUUUCUAUCCCCUAUCAGAUAGUUUUAGGUUCUGAGUUCAGUUGAAGCCUUGUAAUUUAUUUUUAUUUCUUAAACAUGUAUUUCCCUGUCUCUAUCAGAUGGUAAGGAUCCCUGUGUUCUGAUAAAUGAAUCCCAAAAACAAGUUAAAAGUCUUGAGUGGCGGCCUAAUGGUGGGAGGAUGCUUUCUGUGGCAUGCAAGUAAGCAUGUUGCUUUAUGCCAAUCUCCGCACUUUGAACAGCUCUUUAUUAUCAUGCUAAUGCUACUUAAGUUUCACUGAAAGCUUUAGCUUGGACAAAGUUUUGAUUCUUGGGUGAUCAGGGGUGGGAUCUGCAUUUGGGCUGCUUCAUAUCCUGGUAAUCCAGCUUUGGUUAGAGGUGGAGUUACUUCAAGCACCCUUUCGAGAGGCUCUGGGACUAGAUGGACUCUGGUGGAUUUCCUUCAAAGUCAUGAUGGUGAACAAAUAAGUGCCCUGUCAUGGAGUCCUGAUGGAAGAUAUCCGAAAGAUUUUCUAUUUCCUUUGUUAUGGCUUUUGUCAAUUGAGCAUCAGUUUUUCACUCUAUGAUAACAUAUUGCUGAAUUUUCAGCACCUGCAUGUCCUUUUUUAUUUCUUUACUUCGAUGGCUUCCUUUCGCUUUUUAACAUUUUCAUCAUGUCAUCAACAACUUGUUAAGUUCUUCUAGGUAGUAAAUACCAUUUCUCUGGUAUAUGGAAACAUCUAACUCUUCACAUUGCAUGAAAAUGGAGCUCUUUGUUAAUCACAUCUUUGAUAAGUCCUCAUCUCAGAAUCUUCCCAUGUGUACCAGAAAACUGGUACAGAUAAAGGCAUUUAGCAUCUGCUGAACCUUUUUGACUAUAUCAUAAAGGCUACACUAAGGAAAGUGGUGUUUUCUUUUCUUUGUUGUCUUUAUCAGGCUGUUUACAAUCGAAAUUUUAUCAGUGUAGACCUUCUUAUAGCAGCGUCACCUGUGUAACAGCAGAUGCUUGGUGAAUAAACUCUCAAUUGCUUACCAUCUCAACCUUGUCCUUUCAGUAGGAUGCAACCAAUUUAGAAUAUCUUCUUUGGUGUUUUCUGUUGAGGAUGUGAACCUUGUUUCAUGAAUCUUUUGACAAUUCCUUUGAGAAGAUGAACUGUGAAUUUCAUAUUUCAUCAUGAAUCUUGCUUUACCUCCCCACAAGUAACUGGAGUACUGCUCUCAAUCUUACUCACAAAUUAUAUCGCCUUGAUAACACUCUCUCUCUGGUUAUUUCUAAAAUACUCAGCCGUAUAAAUGCCUUGAGAACAAAUGCCACUAAUCCUACAUAAGAAGGAGAUUAAGGAAGUGACAUUACGAGAGGGGUUUACUAGACUUUUCAAGAAUUUAAUUAAUCUCUCAUUUGGCACCUGAUUCAUUGGAGUUGUUAAGAUGAACUAAAAGGCAACUAUAUUUGUCUAGAAGUAUUUGGCUAGUUGAGUUUUGAAUUUUCUUGACUUUCAUUUACAUAUUUGGCAUCAGCUUCAUUUGAGAAUUCAUCAUUCACCAUUUGGGAUGUUGCUCAAGGUAUAGUAAUUUUGCUUCUCCUUGCUUAAUGUCAUAAUUUUGUUGCUGAAGUCCACAAAUGGUAUUAGCUGGCAUUCUUUUCCAUUUUGGGUUGAAAAACAAAGUCAAUAUUGGAUUUAAUCUGCAUGGUGUUUUUGUCCUAUUACCAAAUUCUUCAAGUUUUACUCCACUAAAUACAUGUCAUGCCUCUUUGAUCCUAGGGUGUUGGUAAAAUUGAAAUUUGAAGUCUGAUAUCUAAAGACCGAAACUUAAGUACUGAAGUCAUAAUCUGCGGAAUUCAUAAAGUUUUAUUUGUUUGAUAACCAGCUGAAUUUCAGCACUGAAUUGAAUGUUGUAUUCCAUGUAUAUUAUAUAUUUGAUAACAAUAUUAUGUUUUAUCUUAAAUUAAAUUAUUGUUUUAAAAAUAAUCUUAUAGUACUAAUAAAUUGUAAUCCAUAUAAAGAGUGUGUGUGUGUUAUAGAUGGAGAGUAUGUUUUUAUGUGUAAAAAUGUGUCUGAGAAAGAAAAAUAUGUAUUUUGUGUUCCAUGCAAGAGAUUUAGUUUGAAAAUGUGUAUUAGAGAAGAAAAUGUUGUUUGUGUGUCUGUGAGUGAGAGAGAGAGAGAGAGGGGGGGGGGACAAAAAUAGAGAGAAUGUAUGUUUACAAGUGUGUGCGUGAUGGGGACAAAAAUAUUAUGUGUGUAUGUCUGGAAUUGUGUGGGUGUGUGAAACAAUAAUUUGGAGUAUUUGUACACGAGUAUAAUUCAGCAAGUUAAGUGAGAAAGCUUUCACUUAGGAUUUUGUAUACAAACUAGGUGGCUCCUACUGUAUUUAGAGGUGAGGGAUCAAACAAGCUUUAUACAAAAAGAACUUAAUUUAUUUAAAUUUAAGUACUUAAUGGGGUUACCAAUCACCCACUUAGCAAUUGCCAUGUUGCGAUCAAGAAAUCUGUUUAGGUUAUAUUAGGCAAAGCUCUUUAAGAUCGACAGGUGUGCACGUGGAAUUGGAGAAACUUUUCUUUUGCAUUUGUGCAUAUUUAUCUACCGGAGACAUGCAGAAAUAAGAUGUAGAAAACUUGUCUAAUCAGAGUAUAAGAAAUGUUCCUAAUUGUUUCAAUUAUAGAACAUUCAAAUAAAGGGAUCUCGGGGGAUAUGGUGGUGCAUAAUUUCUCCUUUUCUUUGUACUGGAUGGCUUUGAAGAAUGAAGUAUGACUAUUUUCCAUUUAAGAAAAUAGUGAAGGAACUUUUUGGUGCUUGUCAGAGUAAUCCUUAUAGGAAAUGGUAUGGUCAAAAUGGUUUACCAAAACAAAGAUCAUAAGCGGUUUAGUUUAAAAUAAGCAUACAAAAGUAUUUGAAGUUACCCUCGACGCUAUCAUGACUAAAAUAGAAGGUACAUUGGAUGGUUUACCCUGUGGUGCUGAGGCAGGGAUGAAGCUCCUGUUUAAUCUCCCCCAAUUUUCCCAGAUGUCUAUCAUCUGGGCUUUUACUACUCAAACAGAUUCUUUUUCUAUUAAACAUUGAUGUGGUGAUUUUUCAAGGUGAUAUGUCAGGUUAAUAUACUUGCUGUUUCAUGGUUGGGUUUGAUACUCAUUGUGAAUGGCUUACCUAUUUGGUUCUUGUGUUUUUUACUCAUGUUCUUGUGUCCCACUGUGUGUCUGUUGGACACUAUGGAGAAAGAUGAAUAAUGGAGCUUUCAAUGGAGACCAUAUCUGCAGAACAGUUUAAGUUUCAAUUACCAGACACCUGUAGUUUUGGAUAAAUGUCCGCUACUCAGCUGACAGUUUUUUUUCCCUUUGAUAGGGCUCAUUAUUGUAUGAUAAGAAACUACUUGUUUUCUUUGGAUUGUGCUCUCCUGGUGCCUCAUAAUGAAGCUAUUGCUUUCUCAAAAAGAAAAAAGAAAUAAAGAAAAAAAUCCUGCUACUCUGUUUUAUGUUAUGUCUCUUAGUUGAUUUUGUAUAAUAUUUUUGUUUAGUGUUAAAAAUAUAUAAUUUGAAAGAUAAAUUGCCCGACAUGUUAGGUAAAGUGUGGAACAUAUGGAGGCAGUACUAGCUACUGUGUUGUACUUGUAACUUAAUACCUGGCAAUUAAUGAAGCUCAAGUACUAUGAUUAAACAAUUAAAGAUGUAAUUCUGCUGUGCAAAAAAGAAUUCAACAUGAAACAGAAAGUAUGGGAUGACUAUGUAUUAUCCCCUGGCAAAAUUUAGACAUUGCAGAAUGGAAUAGUUGUUGUGUCUCCAGAAACUCUGUAAAAUGUAGGAAACCUGAAUUUGUUUGUCAAUGAAUGGCUACCAAGUGCUAUUGGUUGUAGAGUAACCAAAAAUGUUGUUGAUCGCUUUUGGAAGGUAAGAGCAACUGUUGCCUUAGUUGGGAUGGUUUUACAAGUAAUGCACGCAUUACCCCAAAUAAGCAUGCUGUCAAGGUUCCAGUGUAGAGUUGGAUGGACGUCCUAAUAAAGGCAGUCCACAACACAAUCUGGACAGCUGUGUUCAAAUUGGGGAAGUGUUAUUGCUUUCCAGCUGAAUGUUUGAAUGCCUGCCUUUCACAUGGUUGCGUGUUGUAUUUGCUGAUGGAGUUUUGUCUGUUUAUCUGGCUUGUAGGGAUGGGCAGACCUAUUCGACGUGGCUUGGGGGGCAUAUCACUGAUUAAGUGGUCUCCUUCUGGAGAUUACUUUAUCGCUGCAAAAUUGUACUGUCACUUACCACUCUUACAAAAUAUUUUCUCAUGUCAUAAUCUUUAUAUACACAUCCUAGCCCUUGAAACAAAAAGCAGAUGAAAUAAAAAGUUGAAAUCUUGCUGGAGAUAUGUUCUCACCCUGAUAGAGCAAUUGCCCCUUCUUGCAGUGAUGGAACAUUUCAUAUCUGGGAGACUAACACUUGGACAUCAGAACCAUGGUCCUCAACGAAUGGUUUUGUAACGGUUAGACAAUCAUGCUUCUAAGUACUCAUGUCAACUUUGCCUUCUGCUACAUCCUACUUCAGUGAACUCCUUUUUUUUUUUCUUUUUUUUUUUGGGGUUGGGGGGUGGAUUAAGAAUAUUUACUACCAUGGUUUACUAUUUUGACAUCUUCACUGUUUGCCAAGCUCUCUUUCUUCCACUCCUUUUUGCCCAUCUAAUUCUUUUGUUACUAUUAGAUUAUUUCCUUGUUGCAUUACCAUCAGAAGAAAUAAAAGCAGUUCCACUUUCUCACUUUCUUAUCAUAUGUUACUUUGACUGUAUCUUAAUCAAAAUGUCAUUAUGAUCUCCAAGAUUUGCACUCAUGUAUUUUCUUAAAGCUUAUUAUACUUUUUGCCUUUUGAAUUUCAAUUUUUAAGUCUUGCCGUCUCUAAUGAUUCUAGUUCUGAACUUACUGGGGUUAAAGAGUGGAUAUAAAUAUGUGGUCUCCAGAGGCGCAGAUAAAAUGUUUCAAUUGAUGUACGCCAUUUCUUGGAAAUUGCUUAUUUUGUGGUGCCAGAUCCAUGAUGGAUUGGGGUUAUUGCUGUUACUUUUUGUCAACUGAUAUAUGUGAUGAUAUAUGGAGUUUGUGUUGAUGAUCUUCUUAUAUUGUAUUCAUCAUCAUUCACUGGAUUCUUUGUUUUCAUUUUGAGGCCAUCAUUUGGACGUGUAAUCUUCAAAUUAUUCUGCUUAGUAGCUAUAUUUUGAUUGACAGGGAGCAACAUGGGAUCCUGAUGGACGAAUGAUACUCAUCGCUUUCUCUGAGUCUACAACAUUAGGGUCUCUUCACUUUGCAUCAAAGCCUCCAUCCCUUGGUGUGUGAUAUUCACCUAGUUCCUGGGUCUACAUAGUUGUAAUUGUUAGUUUGCUUUCUAAUUUCAUAGGUGUUUUGAUGUUGUUUUGUAUACAAUAAAGUAGGGAAAAAGCAUUUGUCUCAAGGUUUCAUUUUCUGCUCUUUAUUUAAUGGUUGGAAGCAUAAUAGUUAUUGCUCAAGAAAAGGAGGACACAGCAGUUGGAAGAUGUCAAUGACUUAAAUUCAUGGUGAUCUCACAAGAUGCAUUAUGAUGCUGAUUUUUUUAAGCUUUAACUGACAAGUCAAGAUGAGUGCAUUACCCCUUUUAGGGGCUGGGUGGUCAUAUUUUGCUUAUUUCCUUAGCUUCUUAACAGGCUUGUAACAUCUCCUUUGGCUUCAUAAGAUACCUCUUUGCUGCAGUGUUACUCACCUCAUAGUCAUCUUGUUCUAUGGUACUUUAUGCAUGAGGGAUUUUUUGUCUCUGUUUUGCUGCUGAAAAGUUGUUUUUUUGUGAACUUCCAUAGGCAGUGUCUGAACUUAUGGGCACCCUAAUAGCUGUUUGCAGACUUUGACUUUCAACAGUAUUGUUUUCCAGAUGCACACCUUGUACCUGUAGAGUUGCCAGAGAUUCAGUCCUUGACCAGAAGGUUCAGAUGAUAAUGCCUUGCUUCAUGAAACCUUAUAAUUGUUGAAUAAUGCUUAUAUAUUUCUGAUCUUGUUAAUGGAUGUUGAUUUCCUUUUAUUUGAGAUGAUUUAUGCUUGUAAUUCCUUUCAUCACUGGGAUAUGGAUUGGCUCUCUUUGACCAGUCUUUGUAUAUUUCUCUUUGCUAAUCUAUUCCAAGUUAUAUCUGGUUAAUACUUGGAUGGUUCUCUGUAACUAUGGGUAAUUUUGACUAGAGAGUAUGGUUUGAGGAGUCUGGAGUAUUUUUUAAGGAAUUCCAUCGAAAAGUAGAUUGUGAAAUUGUGAACUGGUGAAAUGGUUAAUGGAUUUGAUUUCAAUGUAAUAUACCCAUCAUGAUCUUACUUGGGAAGGAAGGAACACACUCCAAUAAAGUUUACUGUUACAAGAAUAAGGCAUAGGGACACUUUUAUUUGAGUAGCUGACUGAUCCAAAAAAGGAAGUCUCUGUAUUAAUAUCUUUAAUAUGCUGAAAGAUUCUUAAGAUGCAUGUUGAGGUGGAAUUCAGUUUUAUUUCCUAGGUUACAGUAGUGGUGCUAUUUCCCCUGCCCGGUAACUGGGACUACCUAUAUUUGUCUACAUGUUGAAGGAGGGAUAGUUGAUCAAACUCAUUGCAGUUUGGCAUGUUGAGGUGACUGGUUAAUCAGUUAAUGAAAGACAUUCCUUGAAUCCUGUGAACCUGGUGGAACUUUCUUCUGUGUUUCUCCGUUUUGCUUAGAUAUUCUGGAUCAUAUGUCAGCCUUAUGCCACCAGGAUGAGUCAAGGUCAGUGGUUUGAUGCUAUUGCAGUAACUUCAUUUGGUCAUAGGCUGCCCUGUAGUGCCGUGGAGGAUGCUUCCCUCAAGGUCAGCUGAUAUGGCUUGUGAUUUGAUCCUUUAGAUGAUAGUGCUGGGUGAGCUCCUCAAAUCAUGUGAGACCACCCUAUAUGUGGCACUGUGAAAUUUAGCAGGAGGCUUGUCCAAUUUUGAAGGCUAUAUCUUGGGAGUAUUAGUUGGAACUGAAUGCAAUUUAGCUCAUCUGGCAUCUUUAGGCAUGUCGGCCUCCACGCCCAAGUGGCCUGAGAUGCAAGUAUGACAUAGGCAGGCAUUAUUUAGGUUAUGUAGGUUCAACUCAAGGUCUGCUACUUGCUAAUCAUAUGAACAGAGAUCAUGGAUCCACUCUUAAUCUCUUUAGAGCCCUGCUGCUGCCAUCAAGACCUCUUAACUGCUUUGUCUUCUCCCUCAAUUGCCUCUCACCAUCCUCUCUCUCUCUCUCUCUCCUAUAGCACAUUGAUUAUUGAACUCCUAAGAAAUGUAAUGAUACUUGUUUUUCUUUUUGUGUAAAAUUUCAUGCAUGGGGGCAUUUGUUUUUAGAAUCAGUCCUUAAUUUCCUUACCUUCUGUGCAGUAAAGGAAUUGAGAAGAUAGCAUGGGAUGGUUCAGGAGAACGAUUGGCUUUGUCAUACAAAGAUGGGGAUGAUCUGUACAAAGGUCUUGUGGCAAUAUAUGAUGUUAGGAGAACCCCCCUGAUUUCAGCAUCACUAAUGUAGGUCGAAUAUUGUGUUCUCUUAUCUUAGCUUCUUAGACCUUUUCAGUGUUUUCUUAUGCUAUUUUGUUUGUGGAUACCAAUCAUUUCUGAUUCUUGUUCAUGUGUUUGGUUCCAUAAAUCCAGUGGAUUUAUUAGAGGCCCUGGCGUUAAUCCCAAGCCAAUUGCACUGUCAUUUCAUGACAAGUUCAAACAAGGGCCCUUGCUAUCUGUGGUAAGUCCUAUGGCACUGUUCAUUUGCUACUGAACUGUGCCCGUCCUCUGGCCUUUUUUAUUAGCAUUUUGAGAUGAUUGCAAAGUUCAUGGAUUCAGGCAGCAAAAUGUACAAGAACUCUGAAUGCGCAUCAUAUAACAUGGACAUCCCUUGUGGAUUGAAUUCUCUUAAAGCACAACUCUUUACGCUUUAAAGACUAACUUAAGUUCUUGUCUCAGACAUGGAGCAGUGGAAUGUGCUGCACCUACCCACUCAUAUUCCGCACGCACGUUUUACCUUAAACCAAGGUAUUUUUUUUUUGUUUUUUUUUUGUUUUUACCUGGAAAAAUCUGCUGUAUCUGUACCAUAUGAUUCCAUUUUCUUGAAAUAGUAGUACCUUAAAUCUGUACUUGUCAACAAUAGGUCUGGGCGACUCUGGUCGCCACGGUCGAAGUACCUAUCAUUGUGUCAUUAGACAGCUGCAGUUGUCAUAAAGUUGCUGGUGAAGCAUUGAGUUCAUCUUCGUAGUCUCUCUUGGAGGUCGAAAAAUGAAGUAGGCCGUUUAUGAUGUUGCUUUCAGCCAAGGAAAACACUACUGUCAUCAAUUUUUAUCACUAGUAGGAACAAAGUGAAUAGAGAUGUUGAAAGUGAUGGAAGCUAAAGUGGGCGGGGAGGUUAUGUGCUGUCAACCUCAUCUCUCUUUUGAAACCUUAUUUGUGCAUCUUCAAGUUAAUUAUGCUUCAAGUGAUUGUCAAUGUUCUCGAGUCUGUAGAUUUUUCUGUUCAUUUUUUAGUCAUUUUAUUGUCAUUAGCUAUGAACAUGAAACUGUAGUAUUUAUACAUUUCGAAAAUGCACCUGGAAAAGUGGAAGAGCGCACCUGUCAUUCUGGCAGUGGUUUUUGGAAGAGCUGAUAGCUAUUGCAAUUUUAUUAAGUUCAUUUUUCGCUACAAAACCAAUGCAGUUUUUGGUGGAAACUGGAAGGGUAUCAUUUCUUCUGGGAAGAGAGAUGGGGCUGGCCAGUGGCCAGGUAUCAAGGAGAGAAUUUUGGACAAAGUUUGGUCAGUUAAGAAUGUAAAGAAGAAUGGGAAAUCAAUCGACUUCCCUAUAAUUGAAAUCCAAAUUAAAGCAUGAACAUCUAUUCUACUUCUUGGCUGGCUGAAUCUGUAAAGGCUUUGCAACAAGGUAUCGAAAUUAAGGCUUCUUCUGCUUAUCAUCAGAGCGAUACUGUCAGAGCUGAGAUAGAUUAGGCUCAAUUCUGGCAUGAAUCUGGAGCUGGAAUAUGAAGUUCAGAUGUUCAUUUUCGGAAAGUCCAUCUAUAUAUACACCUGGUUAAAAGCAGGGAUGAAUUAUUAAACCUCGUGGGGUACAUGUUUUGCAGUAAUACAAUACAACGGACUAGUUACUCGAAGGAAAGAAUCCUAUAGGCAAACUCUCUGCAUGGGGUUGUUUUAGUUUGUUUUCAAGGCAAAUGUCUUUUAUGAUAAAAUCAAGAAGAAUGCUUUAGACUGAAAUCAUCUUAUUAAUGCCUGAGCUGAGAGGAUUAUCUGUCCCUCCUGCUAUUGAUUGGCUACCAUGCAAAAGAAUGCAAUGAGAUUAGGAUUUAGGCCAAGGAAAGGGGGAGAGGACCGUUCCUGCCAGUUAAUGGCCAAGAUUUGACCAACAAAAUUUGUAAGGUCCAGAUUUUAACAUGUGUGGGGCCAACAAAAUAUUGUACUAGUAUUACUCGCUGUUGUUCUAGUGUUACAUCGUGUACAAAUGAUGUUACACCGUGUGCAAAAUGCACACAAGCUUUCGGAACGAUUGCACUGACAACCGUUCCAGCCCCGGGUCCAAGGCAAGGAGCAGUUGUUAGUUCAAAUACUCACCAUUGUAAUUAUUUUUUCUCUUUCAGACACGUUAAUGAUACAUUUACCGUUUUGGUUAGCUAUUUAGGAAAAAGGGACACUUCUUUUCCCUUUUAUUUUUAACCCAUCCCUCUUCCUAAAAUUGUAAUCGAGUCGAGCUCGAGUAUCGUGGUAUUCAAGCUUGACUCAACACUAGGAAGACAUUACUCGAACUCGAACUCGACCUCGAGCGAGUAGCAGAAAAAGAGCUUGAGCUCGAAUAAUUGUUCGAAUACUUGAAAUCGACUCGAUUAUGCUCGAUUUUUCUUAUUUACUUUUACACAAUUUACAAAGAUGAUUAAAUUUCAAUAGCAAUGUUUAAAGUAACAUUUGCAAAGUUUGAAAAAAUAUAUAUACUAAAUUACAAUUCAUGCGGGGUUCCUAGUGACACGGGCUGCACCUAAGUUGCGUGCGGUCGUGCCUUUCCGCACGGGCAUCCACGCGUGCCCGUGCCUAGUCGCACGCGAUCGUGCCUAGUCGCGCGCACGACAGUGCCUGUGCAUGAACCCGCGCGUGCGACUGUGCCCAUCCGCACGACCGCCCGUGCACGACCGUGCUUAGUCGCGCGCAACUGUGCCUAGUUGGCUAGGGUUAUUCCACAAGAUGCUAGAAUUGUGGAGAAGAUUCUAGAACCAUGUGUAAUACUCAUGAACCUUAUGGAUAAGCAUGCACCUUGAGAAUAAGGAUGAACCUUGAGAAUAAACAUGACCUUGUGGAUAAGGGUUGACCUUGUGGAUAAGUUUUGACCAUGUAGAUAAACAUUGACCUUGUAGAUAAGUUUUAGACUUGUAUAGAGAAUUUUAGGACCAUGAAGUAUUUUGGCUUGCCUAUAAAUAGGCCAAGCCCUUUGUAUUGGAAAUGGUUGGCAACCUUGUGUAAAAAAGAUUUGUGUGUCAUAUAAACUUUCCUUUGCCACAAACACAUAUCUUUGUCUAUCACUUUUGCGCUUCCGCAUAAUAACCGCGCAUUGAGUGUUAAGGCUGAACUAGCCAAGCGUUCCUAGCUUGAGACUUAAACGUACGCUAGUGCUGCACGGGAUGUUGGCUUGUAGGAAAAACAAGCAGCCUGUGACACUAGGAACCGAAGGGACUCAUGUGCAAAUCUCACUAAUUGGCCGUAAGCCCUUGUUUUUUGGGUUUUUGGGAAUUUUAGGACCCAGACCAGACACAAAGACUGAAUUGGGGCUCUUAUCUUAUCCAUAACCAUACGAGAGAAUGAUUGAAAGAAUUGGAGGAGGGAGCAGCAGAGAUAGUAGCAGCAAGUAGAAUUGGGCAUUUGAGCAAUGGCUCUCCUCCUCCAAAUUCCCGCUUCCAGUACGAGGACUACCGUUUCAACUCUGCUUUCCUCUCUUUCCUCAUCUUCAUCGCCUUCACUAACUUUUGCCCUCACUUCUUUUCCGCGUAAGAGUAUAAUAAUUAAUACCCCUCUUCUUUUUAUCGCCAUUUCUCCGUCUGUGCAUUUUUACACUUUUUUUUUUGGUUUCUUUUUCCUGCAAAAUAUGUUCUUGAUUGUUUAGAACUUCUGGGUUCUUUAUUCCCUUCGUUGCUAGUGAUUGUUCUGUUGCAAAGUCAUUUGCUCUUUCCCUCCAGCUCAGCAUCUUCAAUUGGCUCUUUUUUUUUUCCUUUAAAAAUUUUAUCUUUGUCCUGCAUUAAUGCUGCUCAGUUGCCGAAACAUUUGAGCCUUCUUCAUUUUUUUUAUUGGAGAUUCUGAUCUUUUAGUCGUACCAAGUAUCUAAUUUCGUGUUCGUAUGUUUCCAAGCACCCUUUUUCCCUGAAUGUUUUGUCUUUCUGGUAUUCCAUCGACUAUGUUGUCUGCGUUUUCUUCCAGUUGAUUUAUUUGUUGGAUGUUGGAUUUUUUUUUCCCUUGAUCUGUUUCUCCAUUUUGCGUGGAUUUUAAAGUGGAGGUAGCUUUGCUUGAAAUUUUUUCUGCCAAGGACAUGUUAUGGUUUUUCAGUUCAUAUAAUGUGGAUCAGAUGCAUUUUCAGAUGUUGUUAUGCCCAGACGCUUGAGAAAUGUAGUUAAUUAUUCACAGCUUGUGUCAUGUAGCCCUCGUAUGAAUCUAAGAUCAGUUCAAAAGGAUAAUUCAUUCCCAUUUUCAUUUAACAUUUCAUAGCUGUACUGGGUAAGAUAAUCUGAUUUUUCAUUUUCCUUAAUCACUUGCCUUUUUGGUCUUUUUGCUAGUUUCCAGGCUGUGCAACAACCCUUUGGCUGCAUAUCCCAAACCGUAUGUUGCAUGCAGCAUUCAGCCGCCUUUCCUUCAGAAGGAGAGGAGGGCACCGCUGGCUAAGGCAUCUGCUGAAGGCGCGAACUCGGAUGGGCCUGAGCUUCCGUCAGAGAGCGAGGAGGAAGAUGUGCCCAUUCAGAAUCUUCCUCUGGAGUCCAAGCUUCAGCUGAAGCUUGAGCAGAAGAUGAGGAUGAAGUUGGCAAAGAAAAUCAGGCUACGAAGAAAGAAGCUGGUUAGGAAGCGUCGCUUGAGGAAGAAGGGGCGAUGGCCACCAUCAAAGUUGAAGAAGAACAAGAAUGUUUAGUGUUUGUCGGAAGACAUCUUCCAGGUUGAGUGCUGGCACAUUUUCUUGCUUAUGCUUGUUGGCAUUCAUCUUCCAUCACUUCCAUCAGUUAAUUUUUGUGUAAUGUAGUUAGAAACUCAGCUGCUAAGUACAAAUGCAUAACUUCCAAAUGGUUUAUCAAAUCAAGAGAUCUAUUGUAUUGACCGGGUUGCUUUUGCUCUUUGUGCUGGACUAUUCUAGGCAUUACCAGAUGAUCGGCAGAUUUUUUUUUUUUUUUUCACUUUUGUCACAUCAAGAUUCAUCAAAAUUAGUGAAAUCACCAUUAUACUCAGUUUGGCCCUUUUUCGAUCAGUUAUAAUUGCAUUUUCUGGUUACCUUUUGUUCUUGGGGCAGUUGACUUGUUUGUGAAUUCUUAUACGGUUUGUGCUGGAGGCUAUAUGAUCAUCAAAGCUGAGAAAAUUCCUUCUACUUCUUAUAAACCAGGUACUUAUAUCCGAAUAAAAUGUGAAUGCUCUAUAGCAUGCUGGGAACAGCUGAAACAGUGUUGUUUAUUCUCUUAUAAAAAAUAACAAAAAUACAACUUAAACUGAUUUUACUAAUUAAGAUUGAAGGUUGGGAAUUCUCCUGUGGUGGUUAAAGAAACCAUCAAUUUUGUUCCAAAUGUUUGAAUGAAAGCAUACAAUUACAGGAUUGCUGGAUUUUGAGGAUGAUACAAACUUUUUGGAUAUUAUGUUGGAGAAAGUUUAUGGUGGGGGAAUAGGGUAUGAUUUUUUUUAAUGGGUUUUGGCAUCAAAUUUUGGAAGAAAAAGAAGUGUUGAUGUGCUUAAAUAGGAGUUCUACAAAUUUUGUCGAACAAAAAGCACCACUCUAGAAAUCUACAUUCAUUGUUCAUGAAAUUUUUAUGAUUAUGUUGAGUUCUAUUUUUCUGAGGACAAAAUGAUUUACAUGAUGCGCUUUUGUUAACAAUAAGGGGAGCUGAUAAAUAUAUUAAUGUUUGGUUUCUUGUGGCUAUGUUUAGCUUUGAGGGUUGAAAUCCUAAAUAAAUAUCUGUCAAUAUCUGCUUCCUAUAUUUGAUUAGUCUUCUUUUGUCAAGAAAAUUGUAUAGCCUUCACUCUUGGACCUGCCUAAACAAUGCAAAGCCAGCUUUAUUGGUGUUGUUAUGAUUGAGGCAAGCAAUCCUGGUUCAUUGCUAUGUUGGUGUUGUUUUCAGCGCAUCCAGGAGGCCAUUUUGUUUUGCUCCCUGCUGUGGCGUUGUUUGAUCUGCUAAGAAAAGACUUUUUAGUUUCAGCUGCAGACACCAAAAUGGACGUCAAGAGCGAUUUGCAGCUCAAAAGUUCCAUCAUGCUGGUGCUGUGCUGCUCACCAAUUCCACAAUGAUGGGAAUUGACAUCCGUCUAAUCUAACAGAUGGAGGAGAGUUGCUCAACCGUACACAAAAGGACACCUUGGAGGGGGCUUGAUUUCAAAGAAACGAGACCGUUUCUUUACCCCUUCCUUGCCUGUGUCAUUUCUUUACUGUUCUCAUAAUCGGCAGAAAGAUGCAUUAUUCAAAUCACUUCCCUUGCAAUGGAAUGCCUUUUUUUAAGCACAAACAGAAAGAAAAUUCGAUACUUCUUCAACAAUGAAAGAGUGUAAACGAAAUACAGUGCAGUAUAGGAUGAAGAAACACGUCCAGUCCAGUGCUGAGUGAUAAAUAACAACGAUUGGUCUAAAGAAGCCAAGAAGGAUAUAAAACCUCACACAAUGACACAAUCAACCAGUUAAUCAUACUACUAAUAGCCUGCGUUAAAAUUUUUCGACUUUGCAUACCCCUAAAAGUGACAAUAAGGAGUGUUGAGAUAUGUCAACUUUUCCUACAGAUUUUGCUAGAUUAUGUUUGAUAUCAAAAUAAUUUAGUUAUUAGAAAAAUAAGGAUAUUUGUUAACCAAAAAUCAUAUUGGUUUGUUAACAAAUAUAUUAGCUAAGAUUUGCUAAUAGAAAAAGAUGAUAUUUUGUUGAGAUUUUUAAGAUAAUUGUUAGUUGAAUAUUUUGCUAGUUUAUUUCAUGUAAUCACUAUAAAUAAUGAGUUGAUGAAUGUAGAACACAAACUCAUUUUUCAUCUUUAAUGCAAGUCUCUUAUAAGCUUUUUUUGCAGCACUAAAGUGUUGUUUUUUAGUUUAUGCCCCCAAAAAAUCAACACUUAGGAAGCGGUGGACAUCCCAUGGAGCACACAAACACGCCUACAAGGGAAGGGACUAUAAUGCAUAAGAGUUUUGUACGAAAACUCGCAGUUUCACAAGACAAUACACUGAGGAUAAAGAGUCUUUCUCCAUUCUUGACAAACUUACAUGAUGCACCGCUAUUGACUGCACCAUGCCAGUACAACUUUAUGCGGCAGCCAACAAAUGUCUCUCACUCGAGCAUUCCAUUCUCUCGUUCUUCGUCUUGCACCUUUACUUUUCGCUUUCCUCCUUCACCGGUUUCUUUCAACGUCAGACCCGUACUAAUGCUUCUUCACAUUUUUUCAGCGUUAAGACAAUGGCGCCUCUGUCCCAUCAUUCCCACUCUUCCGUUCAUUCCACUCUUCUCCUAGUCAACUUACAUCCAGAACGGAAGUUUUAACCGCUUUGAUUUGUUUCUUUAUCUUUCCAUGUGUUUUACCACUUUUGGCCAACUCUCAUCAGGUCAAUGUCGAGUAUGUCAAGUUUGCCUGAUAUGUUCCAAGGCUUAAUGUACCCUGAACCACCAGACAAAGCCUUGACGGGUUGUUAUUAACUAAACCAACUUACCAGUCUGCUUUAUAUUCUACAGAGAAUUGCUGUCAGGGGAGGGAAGCAGGACCUAACAACCUUUCACUUCCCACGGCCUAAAUUGUCCAUGUAGAAUGCCAAAAAAAAAACAAAAGAACCUGCACGACGAGAACAAGAAGUUGGACAGACUUCUUUUUCCUUCUGUACAUUUGCCAGCAGCCAAUUUGCAUUACGACAAUACUUAGAUCUAGCAUCCCGAUUUCCUUGGUGCUGCUUGUCUCAGAAUGAUUGGUUCCUACACAUUGUACACCUUUUUCCCUUUCCAAGUUUCCUUUUUGUCAGACCAACAUUUCACCUUGAAGAAUGUUGAAUUUGCAGAGAGGGCAGGUUGCAUUAAUUCGCAGCCAUCUGCGGAUGCAUCGGUAAUGAAAAUGGUGGUUGCAGGGGAGAGUGCACACCUCCACUCCAUCCUCAUAGCCAUGAAGGCAUAUGCAGCAUUCCUGCAAUGGGUAAGUAUUCAAACCAAAGCUCAGAGUUACGGUCAUGAUUAAAACAUAAGGAAUUAGUAGUAAGAAACAUCAACAAUUAUGUUGUUCAGAAAAACAGCGGGUAUGAGAAGGCUGAAGACUGGAAUAUAUCGGAGUACUCAAACCCAGGUGACUUUCAACCUAAAAUUGGGGGAAAAAAGCCAUAAGAAAUUGAUUAAAGAGUUAAAUACACAAUUAUCCAAAGUUAAUUGCUAAGUUAUCAAUUUACGGCUGGCACAUGUUAGCAAAUAUUAACUAAAUUGACAAAUAAAAUGGUUACAUAACACAGACGAAUCUCAACCAAAUUCAUCUGCCAAUUCAACUGUCAAAAAGAGGCACACUAUUCCAACAUACAAGGAAUUAGAAUACCAUGCCAAAAGCCAUCUUCAAUCUGCAAAUCAUGAUCAAAUAUUUCCAAAGUCUUACCAUAAAGUCUAUAAUACAUAUGUUAGUAGAUGAUUUUCCAGUAUAGUGAAAUGGCACUUAAGAAGGGUGUUAAGCAUGAUUCCUGAACUACUAAAAGCUGAAUACUGAAGAGUUGACUGACAAUCACACCCCAAGAAAGAAUGCCCACAAAUCCAAAGCUUAGACCACUCAGUCAGUCAAAUGUUAAAUGAUGCACACAUCUAUAACCAACUUGCAGAAGUCAAAAGCAUAAGGAGGACUAUAUUACUUAAUAGCAUAUAGUAUAUCAAACAAAGAGGUCAGUACCCAAAUGCAAAAUAACAUAACAAGCAAUUUAGCCUGUCCAACUUUUGCUUUUGCCAGUUGCUAUAUUCUCGGAAAGUAAUUUUGUUAACUAGACACCAAAAAGAUGCAACUGUAAAAGCUUUAUCUCUGCAUAUGUAAAGACUAAUCCAAGAAAUUUAAAAGGCGACUUUCAUGGUCCAAGUAUACAAAACUAAGUUCUUCAAGUGCUGCACCGUCUUCUCCAAAACCCCAAACUUAGGAAACUCUGCAAUUUUCUGCUGUAUAAACUAGAAUCCAUAAAUAAUUUUUGCCAAAAAAUGUGCAGCCAGGUCAUCAACCAACUUGAGUGUUUGGAAUAUAAGCUUCGGUGGGGAAUCCUAUGAAAUUCCUACCAAUAGAGCAGAGGAGACAUAUCAAACUUGAUUUUGUACCAGUUCUGUUAAUUGCAACCAUACAGCUUAUGCCAUGAGGAAGCAGAUAUGUUAAGAUUGCGAAAGCUUCAAACUGUUAGUGGCUCAUUGUAUUCAUGCUCGGUUUUAAGCAGCAGACCAACUCUUGAGGUGGAUAGAAAAAGGAGUGAGCUUAGCUUAAGGAGUUUCCUAUCUGAACCUUUGAAAAGUGCUCUUCCAGUGGAUAUCUCCCUUCAAAAACAACAAACUUGGAGCUGUACACGCUAGACAAUGGAUUACAUAGCAUUCUAGAUGCAAUAUCAGGAAUAAUCACUUCUUUGACUCAACUGAUGAGUUAUGAGGAAUCUGACUUUAAUAAUUUGCUUCUGAAAUAUAGACAGGGAAAAGGAUAGGUUUAAGCAAGGGAGAAAGCCAUUCUUCAGUGUACUGUUGUAUUAGAGGUCAAACAUUUCACAGUGAAAAAAAAACAAAGAAAAUUUGAAAAGCAAAAUAUACAAAAAAUCUACUCUCACUCUCUCAGUCUCCUUGAUUUCUGACGGCGUAUAACAAAAAGAACAAAAACAAUAUUAAUUGUCUUCCGAUAUACCCUUUAUAUGUGGAAAACAAGAAAUUUGAAUGUUCUUAAGAGCCUCUUUUAACUUGCUCAUUGUUUUCCAAGUUCGCAAAGGAGUGAAAGGAGCGAAAGAGAAGUUAACAGAUAAAUGGGAAAGAAACAAGUCCAUUUCAGUAAAUAGAUAGAGGAUGUUGUAGAUGCUUACAGAAUCCUCCAAACUGAGGGCAAGCUCAGGGAUGUUGCCGCUGCCCAGGUGAGCUAGUAAAGCAGCUUCUUCUCGCUUUCUACAAGAAUUGAUAGUCCCUGCAGCAUUAGGAAGGCAAUAUCUAUACUUGGGAAGAGUCCUUAUAUCAUUUUCAGAAGCUCCUUCCCCAACUGUCAUAGCAUGUGCAACCCUUGCCAAUAUUGGGAAGCAACAUGCCAGCAAUACAAAAAAAAUGAACGCCAUUGCAAUGCAAAAUAUCAUGAAGAAUACAUCGAAAGCCAGAAAAACCACUGAUAACCUGCAGCAGUUAUAUAUGCUUCAGUUAGGGCCCCCUUUUACAAGUGCAGACUAACUGUCAUGUUUGUUUGCACAGAAAAAUAUUAUUCACAGAAAACCUAAAUAGAUUGUACUAAAAUUUUUGCAGAAUUUUCACUCCCUAGACAUAAAUGACAUCCUCGUUCCGUUUGUUUCCAAAAAUUUGGAAAUUUGAUUAUAUUUGAUCUCAUUUCUCUUUCUGGUUAUGCAUCAAAACUGAUUAUAAAUGGAGAAUGCAAGAACUUUUCAAAUUUCUCAGGCAUACAUUUACUGAAGAAAAACGAAAAACAAGACAAUAAAGAUGUUAAAAGAAUUUGAAGGAGCAAUUUAUGUAGGGAGGAUAGUCACUGGGGCCUCCAAUCCAGAAGGGUUACCAGAGCAACUACAAAGAUACUCUUAAUGAAGGCUACAUUUCUUGGUUCUUUCUUUGCCUGUUGGCUAAGAAAUUUAAUAUUUCAUAUAUCGGGCUACAUUUGAAGCCUCAAGAUGAAUUUGACUCCAUAAAUCAGAGGACAUAUAGCACCCACGGAACCAUCUUUGUCCAACAACUACCCUUCAACAUGUUGCAAGAAAUUGUCAAUUGAUCAUGGAGCUUCUUGCAAAGGAUAACAAAUUUUAGAGCCUUUUCAGGGGAGGGGUGGUUUGAGGGAUCAUAAUUGGAAUACAAUGCAUAUGAUGGAGCUCCAAGUUCUCUAAUAAGCUAAACUUCCAUAUCCUACCACUUCACCAAAAGCAGCUUUCAUAUUCUUUUUCAAAAAUAAUCCAAUUGGAUCUAAAUAAGUAAUAAGAUUUUCUGAAACCUUCAAAUAAGAUUCAUACCAGUAGAGACGGGGCGAAUCUUGCAAAAGUGCCUUUCCACCCAUAUAUAUCCAAUAGAAUCCAAACACCCACCAGACGGAUGAAAUAACUGUGUUGAUAGACUCCAGCCUCUUGACAAAACUACAAAAGAGAAUAAGAUUGUAGCGUAAGAAGUAAUAUCUUUUGUUUAUAUGCUGAGGACUUCAUCAUUGUAAAAAUAAAUUCACUUUAAGCUGCCCAUUUCCCUAAUGGAAAGACAAGCAAAAGGAAGAAAGGAAAGUUGAUUAAGUUUUGUUUCAUUAACCUUCGAACCAUUAAGCCGAAUUAUGCAUGCUGCAGACCAAAAGUGGUAAAUCCUACUAUGGCCUAUUAAAGUUGAACAUUUAGACUAAUAUACCAUUGAAUCAAGUUUACAGGGAGCUGAAAUAUCUCCUGUACUAGUUUGGAGCUUAUACAAACAAGAAGGAAAGGCCAUGUUCCAGUCAAACUUUGAACAAGGACAAAAGUACAGGCAAAGGAGCAGCCAUGGAGCUUGCAUAUCCCGCUGUGGAAAAUUUACUAUGAUUUCCAAAUAGAUGUUAUUCUAAAACAUUUAAGGUACCAAAUCAACAGCCAAAAAAGAUUCUUUUAUUUUGUGUAUACAUUUCAGCUCUUCUUCUUUGACUAGUAUCUGACUACCUUUAUACCUUCCUUUAUCUUUCUUGUUGCCCUAUUGAAUUGGGGGUCAGAUACCUAAAUCAGAAACUUACCCCAAAUGGGUUGGAAUGAAUCAAUUAGGGGGUAAGGAAUCACAGAAACAAGAAUUUAGUAAGAGCAAGAGUUCCUAAAACACGAGAAAGAGAAGAAGCAUCAUACCCUCGGCGACAAAGGAGAGAAAAUGGAUGAAAGGCAUGGAAAUGAUGAAUGUAAAAAUGGCUGCUUUGAGAGUGAAGCCAAACAAAGCCCACAUGCAAGAGGCACUGCAGAGCAUAGCCACCAAUCCAAAGCCUUAAAGGGGUGGUGGGUCUCUCGGUGACGGUAGUCAAAAGCACAAAGGCAGCCACCAACACAAACCCCAAGUUCCAUAUCAAAUCAAGAAUCACGAAGGGCCUCGAGAAUGGACAUUCUUGGCCUACUGGGAGUGAUGGGCCACGGCCACGGUCAUCCUCGUUCUCCUCCCUCUCCUCCUCCUCCUCAUCAUCAUCAUCAUCGUAAUCAUUGAAGAAAAUCCUGUGGUGGUUCAAGGUGGCGGAGGUCAGUCUGGAGAAUAUGGUGGCUAUAUUGGUGGGGGCCCUUGUGUUAUUGUUGGAGCUGCUGGUGCUGCUGCUGUGGCCAUUCUGAAGAAGAAGCAAGCCUUGCUGCUGGUUCUCCAGGUCCAUUUAUAGGGAUGAUAAAAUUCCGGUAGCUGCAAUCUACUAUUUUGCCCGAUGAGAGAGAGCUGGUGCGGUCGGUGGCGGUGGUGGAGUUUUGUUUUGUUUUGUUUUGAGAGAUACGGUUACAGUAGCAGUCGAGCAAAGAUAUGGUAUGUUGGUCGACUCUGCUGCACUGUGGGAAGUGGGGGCCUACUGAGGACUGAGGAUUGAGGAGAGACAAUCAAUCAUCCAUCCGUGCAAUUGCUCUUGGGAGUAUUAUUUAUACACACACUCAAAUCCCUUUGUAAUACACUAAUACUACUAUCUAUCUACGUCUGCUAUUCCUUCAAUACUUUUUUUUUUCGUCAAUUGAUACCAUCUACGUCUACUUUUACUCUAAUAUAUAUUAGCGAGUGAUUCUGAGAAAUUGACGGAAAUUAAACUACCAUCAAAUUAUACAGUCCAGUGAUAUUAGACAUCUUCUAAAAUUAGUAAGUUUUGGCCAAAAAAGAAUAACUUUUGUCGUCAUAAUUAGUGUGUUUUUCAAUUUUAUCAAAUACACUGCUACUAUCACCAUCUAUGGAAAAUACAUUUUAUCCAUUCAUUCAAUCUUAAAAAGGGUUAUAAGUACAAAGUAUUUUAAAUUUCUUUCCUGGAAUAGAAAUAAUUAAUCUAAAUUAGAUAAGAUGUAUAGAUGGUCGAAUCUUUAUACAGGGAGAAAAAGUAAUUACAGUGCAUGCACCUAUAAAUAUUUGCAGUAGUAAUUUGUAUGCAUGUACCAGUUGCUGCAAACGAUUAUGCCACUCUAUUAGUAUUAGAGAGGAUGCAUCCAUAACAUAUUCAUGUGCUUUCGCUUCAAUCCAAUGACUACAAUUAUUACAUAACAAAUGUACAUAACUCCAUGUAUAGUUAUGUACAUAUAUGUAUAUAUAUACACAUAUAUUUUAUGGCCGGUGAUCAUUUUCACAGGCAGACUCGAGUAUUGAUGGAUAUCCAAAAAGGAUAAAAACAAUAAAAUUGAUGAUAUCUCUUUUUCUUUUUCUUUUUUAGUCUUUCCGAUUCUCUCUUCUAGGGUUGUGCAUCGAAUUCGAAUUCAGUAAUUCGAAAGUUUAAAUUUGAAAUUUUUCGGAAUUUUGGCAUAGGAAUUACCGACUGAUUUUGAUUUUGAACUCACCAGUUUCGGUUUUCGAUUUUGAUUCCGAUUCCGAAUUCGAAAACCUUUUUUCCCUUUUUUUUCUUUUUUGUUAGAGGUAUUGUUAUAUAAUAUAAAUUUUAUAUUGCAUAUAUUAUAAAAAAUAUUAUUAUAUAUAUAAAUAUAUAUUAAUAUACAUAUUAUAAAAAGAAAUUGAAAUAAAAAAAUAUUAUUAUAUAUAUAAAUAAAAAAAUAUUAAUAUAUAUAUUAUAAAACGAAAUUGAAAUCGAAAAUUUCGAUUUCGAUUUCCGAUUUUGAAUUAUGAAUUCGAAAUCGGAAAUUCUGAUUUCAAAAACUCCAUUACCGAAUUUGAACCAAAUUCACAUAAUUCGAAAUCGGAAAUUCCGAUUUUAGUGCCGAAUUCCGAAUUACCGAUUUCGAAUUGAAUUCGGUCGGUAAAUCGGAAUUUUUCGAUUUUGCACACCCCUACUCUCGUGUCACUGGUUAUUUCCUUUUCUUUGUUAUUAUAUGUGUACUUGACAAUAAAUAUUUAAAUUUGCUCUAACUCAUUCCCCAUAUUUUGCUGUUUAUUUGUUAUUUUUCAUUGUAAUUAAGAAUAAAUUUUAUAGAACAACACAAAGGAUAUGUUGCUUAGAUGGCAAAGGAAUUGUUUAUGCUGUUGCCAUUUUAGUUCAAGGGGGAUACUUUCGUAGUGGUAAGCAAAAGAACAACUUCAACAUGAAUGCUCAAUAUUUCAGAGCCAUUAGUACAAGUACAAGUUAUUAGGGAGGGAAAGAUGCAUGUUCUUGGACCUAAAUGGCCUGUGACAUUGUCAACAAUGUCAACAAAUCAAAGGAAGUAAAAGUAUGUGGAUAAAGUAAGACGGUCAUGGACUUCCCAGCAGCUUUCAGGGGGCUUUGGACUGGUGUCACCU
Molecule: long non-coding RNA, 61630 nt
Filed under: Coffea arabica (coffee)
Lineage: Eukaryota; Viridiplantae; Streptophyta; Magnoliopsida; Gentianales; Rubiaceae
Description: long non-coding RNA (CARA_LNC000411)
Source: RNAcentral